RNAcentral lists this long non-coding RNA (50699 nucleotides) under Populus trichocarpa (black cottonwood). RNAcentral describes it as "long non-coding RNA (PTRI_LNC000062)". Lineage: Eukaryota; Viridiplantae; Streptophyta; Magnoliopsida; Malpighiales; Salicaceae. The record is from RNAcentral.
GUCCAGUCAAACUGUUGUGCGAAAGGUUCAAUGCCUUGAUCUUGUUGAGGUUUCCAAUUUCAGGAGGAAUCUCUCCUGUGAAAUUGUUGCAUGAGAAAUCAAUUCCUGUUAAGUACUGGAUAAUGCUUCCUUUAUAAGGAAAGGAUACAUUCUUUAUUGUAAACUCGAAAGAUUGUUGUGAUGAGAACAUAGAAUAAUGGGAAUUGUAUUGAAUAGGGAAAGGAUGAGUAGAUAUCAUCCAAGAGAGGAUGUUACCAGAAAGAUAAUUGUGAGAUAGAUCAAUCACGGUUAAUUGGUCCAACCUGCAUAAUCGAAUUGGGAUUUCACCUUCAAGAUUGUUAUAACUCAAGAGUAGAAAUCUCAAGUUAGAUAGCCUGUCAAUCCAUUCUGGAAUUCUACCAGUUAAAUCAUUAUGGGAAAGAUCUAAUGCGAAUAUCUCAGAGGAGUCAGAAAAUGCCAUUGCGAUCGGUCCUUGCAACCUAUUUCUAGACAAAAAAACAUCUCUUAAUUUUGAAGAAGUGCCGAAUCUAGGUGGUAAAGGACCAGAUAAAUUGUUCCUUGAUAGGUCCAAGAAUUCAAGAGAAGACAUAUUCCCAAUCCAUCCAGGGAUUUGCCCUUGCAAACUGUUGUUGGACAAGUCUAACUCGUACAUCAAGCUCAUGUUACCUAAUGAGGAAGGAAUGCUUCCAUUGAAACCAUUAUCAGACAUCAAUAAAACUUCUAACCCUGAAAAAUGAGCUCCAAUUUCUGAAGGGAUUUGUCCUUGGAAGUGAUUCAUUGAUAUACUUAGGAAUGACAAAUUCACAUGAGAACUCUUUGGCAACAAGAAUGGACCUGAAAGAGAACAGUUUUCUAAAGAAAGAAGUUUGAGGUAUGUGUUGUUCUCAAUCAACCAAUUUGGAAACUCUCCCUUUAUUUGGAUGUUUGUAAGAUCCAAAGAUUGUAGGCUGAACUGAUGGUAAAGGAACUUGGGAAAUGCUCUCGUAUUUUGUCCACCAUUGCUCAAAGAGAGGGACUCUAACUGGAACUUUGGGGUGAGAUUAUGAUCAUCUUCUUCUGCGUAUAUUUCAUUCCCUGAACCAUAAAAAGACUUGAGUUUUGAAAGGUUGUAUAACGGGCUCAAUGACAUAGGUAUCUUCAAGUGAUUGGAAGAGAGAUAUAGUCGUUGAAGGGAAGUCAUAUUUGCCAGACACGGAGGCAAGAAACCACUUAGAUCAUUGUCAUUCAUAUAUAGCUCUUGAAGAUGAUUUAAGUCACAUAGGCCUGAUCACAUUAUAAUUUAGGAAAAAAAAAUUAAAACUUUGAGUUUCUAAUGGAAAAGAUAUAACCUAGGGAGAGGGUAAGAGUCAUCAACCUUACCUUGGGUUGUAGGUAAUUGGCCAUUUAGACUACAAUUCUGCAACCAUAAAGUUUUGAGAGAGGGCAUCGUUCUGAUGGUUUGUAAGAUGUUGUUACUGAGAGUAUUGGAACUUAAAUCCAAGAAUUCCAAGUUCUUGAGAUUAAAGAAGCCUACCACAAUCAAGAAAUUAUAUUAAUGUAGAAGCAAUUAAAAUUAUAAAGGAAAUGAAAGAGUAAGAGUCAUCAACCUUACCCUGGGUUGUAGGUAUUCGACCAUCUAGUCUGCAGCUGUGCAAAAUCAAAGUUCUAAGAGAGGUCAUUGUUCCGAUGGCUUGGAAGAUGCUAUUAUUGAGAGUAUUGUAACUCAAAUCCAAGUAUUCCAAGUUCUUGAGAUCAAGGAAGCCUGCCACAAUCAAUUAGACAAGAAAUUAUAUUAAUGUAGAAGGAAUGAAGAUUAGAAAUAAUUCAUUACUUAUUAAUCGUGGCUAAAAAAACUAAAAAUAUCCAGUAAGUGUAGAAAUUGUAUUGUCCAUUUAAGAGAAUGAUUUUUUAUAUGUCUACCCCAAAAAACAAAUGCACCUUUGUUAAUUUAUUUUUCUCCUAAAAAUAGCACUCUCUGUAUAUGAAGUUACCUUUUUAUUAAAGAAAUUAUUGUUUUUUAUGUUAUCAUUAUAUUUACUUUACAUUGAAAUGGUGUUGAGAGAGGGGUAAAGUUAAAGUGAAAUAUUAUUUAUAUUAAAUAGAUGGUAGAAUUUUAAAAUAAUAAAGAUUUCAAUUGAGUUAAUUUCUAAAUUUGAGGUUUAAUUGUCUCUCCAAGACUUGUUUAGUAGGUUGCGAAAACAUAAAAGAGGAAUUUUAUGCAAACACAUCUAAUCGUAGCAGGCCAUUGAGUGCUUGCAAAGACAGGUGUUUUAGAGAAGUAGAAAGGUCAAUGAUAAGUAAUAGUGGAGUUUAAAGUUGUUAAUUUACCUCUAGAAAGUACAAUGCCAUUGAGUGCUUGUAAUGACAUGUUUUUUAGAGAAGACAGUGCUCCAAGGCUUUGAAGAGAGUAUUCAUCUAGAGAACAACCGUCCAGAUACAAACUUUGCAAGGAGCUUAAAUUUUGCAACUCUGUUCAAAAGUAGCAAGUUGAAUUUUUCAAUUAAACCCAAAUAUAUAAACAUCACUGUAUAUAAUAUAUAACUUACCGUCACUUAAUAUUCUUCCUAUAAAAUCAUUGUAUCCCAUAGAAAGUUUCGUGAGGUUUGGGAAUGCUCGUAAUGAUUGCAGUAACUGGAAGCUACUUCCAUAGGUUGUGAUAUUUUCUAGCCAUAGACUCCUCAAGUUGCUUGGACCUGCAAGUUAGUUGGGGAAAAAACGUAUAGAUAUUAUUAAUAUUGUCCAAAAGCAAAAAUAAUUAAUAUUAUUAAUAUGGGCUCAAAUAUUAUCUUCAUGAUACCAUGUAAUGUGGAAGUUACUACUUACCUCUUGAGACUAUCAAUUUGUUAAUAUUGUUGCCGUUCAAAUACAAGAUCUCCAAGCUACUCAAAGAUUCUUGAUAUUUAUAAAAAUAAUAGUUAAUUAAUUCAUUACAAAACAUAAAUUGUGUUUUUUGAAAUUAAAUUUAAUAGAUAAUUGUGUUAAUUAAAUUUAAUAUUUAUAAUAAUAAUAGUAUAUAAAAAACCUAACCUUUCAAAUCUAUUAACCCCUUCCAAUCUAUAUAUCCAAAUAUAUAUUUAAGAGAGGAAGCAACUCCACAAAUGAUAGAAUACUACUAUCAAAACGAUUAAUUCCCAAGUCAAGAUACUUCAAAUUGCUUAGUUUCUGUAACUCAUAACCACCUAUAUAAAAAAAUAAAUUAAAUAAGAUUUCACAUGAAGAAUAAAAAAAGAUAUUAUUGGAGUAAUUUAAUUAUUAUUGAUGAAGAGUCAUGUAAUUAUUACAGUGACUUCAUGUAAAGAGGUUGAGAUGAUAAAAGUAAAAGUAAAAGGAGUGAUUGUUACAGUGAUGAUGUCAUGAUUAUAUUAAUAAUCUAAGGAAUUAAACAACACCUUAUUGCUAAAUAUUUUCUUCGAUGAUGAAUUACUCUGGAGAACCAAAAUGAUAAUAACUAAAAAAGUAAUAUAAAUAUUUUGUAAUACUUAAAGAGCAAACCUUUCUUCUCAACCCAACCAGCUAUACGAUUACCCCACAAGUGGAGAGCGUUGAGUUGUUGAAAAGGAAGAAACAUGUACUGCUGUUGCACCCAAUUCUUUACCAAUCACAGCAGUGGGCGUCAGUUUCUAUCCAGGAGGGAAGGGAGGUGCCAUUGGGAUAGUUAAGAGAAUCUUUGAGGUGCAACAGAGCGAUCCUCUCUUCCUCCAAGCAACCAAGAGGAUGCCAUCCUUGCAGGGAAACCGUCAUCACUAACACCGUCAACACCUGAAGGAACAGCCCCAUCUUAAUAUCAAAAUAUAAAAGGUGAUCAAUAUUUGUUAUAGAGGACAGCUAGCGAGGAGGUUAAGGCUUUUAUAGAGGACUUUGCGGACCCAUGCCGUGGAAAAAACCGCAUAGUGGCAACGGACACAUCCCCUCAAGGACAAUAAAUAUUUAUAAUUCAAUGUUCAUGACUUUCUUAAGCAAAAUCAAUUAAAAAAAAUCUGAAAAAAAAUCUCAGUAAUUUUAAAAAAUAUCUUAAUGAAAAACACACUCAGCAGCCACAUAAGUUAGAAGCUUCAUUUUUUUGGUUGAAAAAAAAAUUCCACUUCAUGGUCGCAUCCUCUCUCUCUUGUUUUUUUCUUAAUUUUUCAAUUGGCCGAAGUCCUAUUAAUAUUUUUUUGAUGCCGUGUUUUUUUCCUACUAAACACUAAAUUUUUAAUAUAAUUAUCUUAUGAACACUUUUUUUUUUUAAGUUUUAACAAACUAAAAGGUUGUUUGAGAAUAAAUUUGAAAUCAUAUUUUUUAAAAAAUUAAUUUUUUUGUUUAAAAUUAUUUUUUAUAUUUUUUUAUCGUUAUCAUAUGUUAAUGUGAAAAAUAAUUUAAAAAAAAAUUAAAAAAAAAUUAUUUUAUUUUAUUUCAGUACAUAAUUCACAAUAUCUGAAUUCAUUUAUUUAACAUUUAUCUUUAAUAUAUAUAAUCUGAACAUAGUUUUGAAACCUGACCCGGCGGGUCGACCCGGGACCCGGCCGACCCAGGGCUGGAACCGGGCCGGAUUGAAGAAAAAAUAGGAAAAGUCAUGACCCGGUAUGACCCGGCCGACCCAGCGGGUUGACCCGGUGACCCAGUUGACUUUUGAUUGAUAAGAAAUGACAGCUGGUUUUUUUUUUUUUUAUUAACGUGGAUGUCUAGACCAGCUUGCACGUACAUCGAUUAAUCCCACAGACCUUGAAGUUAACGACCAUGUAAGUCUCCAAAGAUCAUGAGAGAACUUGAACUCGUGACUAUUAAAAAACAAACCCAAAACCUAACUAGUUAAACUACAUCUUAGAGUUUGGUUCUUAAUAUUCUUGAUAGCCUUGCAAGAGUAAUGAGUGUGUUUUUUCAUCACAUUCCUAGUUUUUUUUUUUUUUUUUUGUGUGUUAUUUUAUUUGCUGGCUUCUUCUCAAUUGCUUCAAUCUUAUUCAUGUUUUUCCACGAAAGACUUUGACUUGGGAUCAACUUUUCGGCUAAUUACUUUUAUGCAAUUCAAAUUUAUGUUAGUAAAAUCACUUUAAUUAUUCUUUCAAUAUUCCCGUACGUGUGAUUCACUGCUUGGUGAUUCUAAAGUCACCUGUUUAAAAUUUAGGACAGCUAAAUUUAUACGACUAAAUUUAUUCUUACGAUAUUAUUCCUUUGGUAUAUAGUAUAUAUUCAAACAUAAAAACAUGUUUUUUAUGUUCCCACUAUUUUUGUAUUUUAUAUCAUGGUGCCUGAUUACCAUAACACUAAGUCAUAAUAAAUAAAUAAAUAAAAUUGAUUGUGGAAUGGCACAUGUAUUCGGGGAAAAAUAAAAAAAAUAAUCUUAUUGCUAGAGAUGCAUUGGAGCCUUUAAUAUUUUGCAAAGGCAUGGAACACUGAUGGCGUCAGCCCAGAAAAUUCUAAAAUAUUCUCGUCAUUUCCAAGAAAAAUCUAUCAAGAGGAAUUCUUUAUUUAUUUGGUAGGCAAGCAAAGUCAAAAGGGAGUGGUAGCUCAUCAUUUCCAAGAAAAUUCUAUCAAGAAACGAAGAUAUUUUUGAAGAAUAACAGAAAAUAAAUAAAACCAAAGCAUUUCCCCAAUUUAUUUUUGAUAAUUUAGCUUUAAUUAAACUUAAGUUAAUUUUAAUUUUUUAUGAAAAGAUAAUAUUAAAAUAAAAUAUUAAAAUAAAAAAACACCAAAUAUGAGUGUCAUACCAUAAAUUUCGUAAAGAAUAUACUUUUAUUCUUAAAUUUUAAAAAUCACGCAAAUCAUACAAUUUCAGUACCUCAAUAUUUUUUCAAUUUGAUUUUAAUACAAAAAUUUAUUUUUGUUAUUUUUUAAUACAUGAUUGAGAGAGGAGAGAGAGGUCAUCAGAUUCUAGUGAUGGAGAAAAAAAAAUGCAUUAAUAUCGAUUUAGAUUACCAAAACAGACACUAUUUGUGUCAAAUAGCUUUAUUUAAUAAGGAAAGCUCAUAUUAAGUAUUUUUUUUAUCUUUAAAGUUCUUGAAAAAAUAAAUCUAAUCUUCGGUUGAUUUUCUACCUUGAAAGAAACAUGAUAAUUUUUUUUUUUUGUGUCUUAACACUACUGAUCACUUCUUUAAAUACGCAUUAUUGUUGAUGAAUGAGAAUUUAAGUGAAUCGAAUUUAAGGAUUUCUAGAAGAAUUAAUUCUCUUAAAUUUUGUCAUAUUUUUUGUUUUUGUUUUUAUUAAUUUGGCUUUUCUUUCUUAAUUUUUAAUAUGUUUUGGAUGAAAAUGAAAUAUUUUAUAUAAAUUUUAAAAACAACUAUGAGAUUUAUUCAUAAAUAUUUUGUGUGACUCUUUACUUAUAUAAACGGAUGAAGCAUGUAAAUUAUAGUAAUUUUUUUUUAUAAUAGUUUUAAUCUGAAUAUCUUUUAGGAAAAAAUGCAUGAUGGAAAUGUUCUCUCGGACCCACCUCAUGGGGAAAACAUGUACGAUGGCACCAUCCAACAGGCCCAUUCAUGGAAAAAUGGAUGAUGGCAAUGGUCUAACUCUUGGAAAAAAUGGAGAAAAAAAAAAAGCAGGAUGGUAUAGGACGGCAGUGUACUCUUCAUCACAGUCACUUUCGUUUUCGUUUUUGAUAUUAUUAAGUAUUGCUUGCGUGGAUUUUUUUUACUCCGCAAGGCCUCACUGUUUUCUCGAGUAAUAUUAAGGAUGGAUUAUAUAAAAUUUUAUAUUUUUCAAUUUAGUUUUCAAAUUUAGUUUUUGAUGAUUUAGUUCUAAUUAAUAAUCAAUUGAUUUUGAUUUUGAUUUUUUAUAUAAAAAAAUUAAAAAAAAAUAAAUCGAAAUAUAAAAAGAAAGUUAAACAUGGAUGUUAUAGUCUUACAAAAGAAACACUUUUACUCCCUUCAUUAUAUUUAUUCAUAUAAUUCUGUGUUACUAUUAUUUAUAUACAUGUGCCAAACUAGAAAAUUAUAAAUCUUCAAAACAACACUGAGAUUUAUUCAUAUAUAUUCUGUGUUACAAUUACUUAUAUAAAUGGAUGAAGCAUGAAAAUUAUAGAAGGAGAUUGUUACAUACUAAACUCUGAAGAUGAAAUUGAGAAAUCUCAAGAAUAAGUCGUUUCAGAAGCCAAGAAAGAAGAUAAAAAAAGAUGGAAAUUAAUGAGCUUCCUAGCGUUAACCUUUUAUUUAUGUUUUUUCAUUAAAGACUGACAUCAGCCUUAUUAAAUUUGAUUCGGCAGGAAAGGUUGAUGUGAGAUCUAGUUUAACCUGAGUUUAGAUAAAACUAAGUGAGAGUUUACCCGUUAAACUUGAAUGAUCAGAUUAGUUAACCCGUAAAUAGUUUAAUUUAAUCAAAACAUGGUUUUCUUUUUUAACUAUGCAAUUUUUACUUUUUUUUUUAAAAAAGAAUAUCUUAAAAUGACACAAUUUUAAAUUAACACCAGUAAACAUGAAAUAACCUGCACAAUCUAUUACCUAAACCCUGAUUACUCAUGGUCCGAUGAAGAGGACCUUCUUAAGCUAGUUGUAGUAUAUAGAGAAUUUCUUAAUAACAUCUUAGAAAUAUAAUUCACAUCCGAAUUAAUAAUAUAAUAGGUUUUAAUAUUUACUUUUAAUAUAUAUAUAUAUAUAUAUAUAUAUAACACACUAAAUUGAGAUUUUUUUAUACAAGAUGAAAUUAAAACAUAUUAUUCUUUCUCAAGCUUACGGGGCAAUAUAUUUAUUUUAUUUAAAAACUUGUAUUGAUUUUAUUUUUUUUCCAAUUUGAAUACUUGUAUUCACGAAAUGGUUAAUAAAAUAUCUUUGUUAGUUUUGUUAUAAAAUAAUGACAUCACAGUUAACUCCUUUUGAAUAACUCCUUUUAGAUGAGUUUGAAUUUAUUUUAUUUUAUUUUUAAUUUUUGAACUAUAAGAAUAUAGAUAAAUUUAAAAUAAAUAUUUUCUUACAAUAGUCUUAGAGUGAAAUUAGAGCAAAAUUUAUAAUUUUAAAAUAAAAAAUACAUAAAAACAUGUUUUUCUGUUCCCACUAUUUUUGUAUUUUAUAUCAUGGUAAUUAAAUGUUGCCUGAUUAACAUAACACUAAAUUAUAAUAUAAAAAAUUAAUUGUGGAAUGGCAUGGUAGUUGGAUCUAUUUGUUUUUUUUUUUUUCGUGUGUGUGAUUAAAUUAAUUAUCUCGAUAAAUGACACAUGUGUUUGGGGAAAAAUAAAAUUAAUUAUUGCUAGAGAGGCACUGGAGCAAUUGAUAUUUUGCAAAGGCAUGGAAUUCGAUGCCAAGGGAAUGUAAGAUAGUUGUUGACUAGACUGCUGGCGUCAACGUGAUAAAGCAAUUAAUUAUAGUUAGCAACGACAAGCUGAAUUCAAGUUAGAUUUAAAGUUGGAUAAUAACUAUUUUUUAAAAUAUUUUUAUUUGAAAAUAUAUUAAAAUAAUAUAUUUUUUAUUUUUUAAAAAAUAUUUUUGAUAUCAAUAUAUAAAAAAAUCAAAAAAUAUAAAAAAAUAAUUUUAAAUAAAAAAAUCAAAAUUUAUCCAAUUUUUAUUUGAAGUCCCAAUAGGAGCAUAUCCAGGAAAAGUCUAAUCAAACCAAAGCCGUGAAAUUAGAAACCAAAAGAUUGACUAAAUUUGUUUUUAUAGUGAGCCAGCUUAGUGGUUGGGCAAAAACUUGAUGGAAAGAUUAUUAUUUAUUCAUCAAAACAAUUAUUUAUUUUGGAGGAAAACCCAAACUCAAUUUCAUUUGAUCAAAGUCACACCAUCAAAGAAACCCAAAAAAAAGUAUUUAAUUGAUAUAAUAAUUUUUUUUUUGGUAUACUAAUAUAAGAAAAAUAAAAAUCUAUUAAAAUGAGUGGCACUCGAACAACUUUAAAUGUUUUCAUACUUUAUCUUCCAGGCAAGAAAAAUCAAUAAAAAUAGGCGACGCUAUUUUGUAAAUUGAUAGAGAUAUCAAUAAAAAAAACAUGGAUAAAUUUUUUUUUCAAUUUGAAUAUUUAUUUUCAUGAAAUCUGAUAAAUAAAAUAUCUUUAUUAGUUCUAUUAUCAUAAUGAUGAUGAUGUCAUAGUUAAUUUUUUUUUUAGAUGAGUUUGGAUUGAUUUUAUUUUUUUUAUUUUAUUUUUAUUUUUUUAAAAAAUUGUUUUGUUUUCAGUUUGAAUUUAAAUAUUUAUUUUCAUGAAAUCUGAUAAAUAAAACAUAUAUCUUUAUUAGUUCUAUUAUCAAAAUGAUGAUGUCAUAGUUAAAUUCUUUUAGAUGAGUUUGGAUUGAUUUUAUUUUAUUUUUAAUUUAUGAAAAGUAAAGAUAUGUAAAAUACUUAUAUUUAAUAUUUUUUUAUUCAAGUACUCUAAUUGAUUUUUUUUUAUUUAAGUACUUAAUAAACUAGUGUGUGACCAUAAAUUUGUUUACAGAAUAAAUGUAAGGUUUACAUAAAGUAACUAUGGAAUAAUAAGAAUAUUAACAAUAAGAUUUAUUUAUAAAUAAAUCAUAGAUUUAAUGUCUCUAAAUUUUAAAUUUGGUGUGAAUAAAUUCAAGGGAUUUACAAGAUAAAUAGGACAAUAUUAGCCUUCGAGAAUCUCCCACUCUUCCUCUUCAAGGAAUUAAUUAGUGGGUAGUUAGUUUGUUCUAUUUUCUUCACGUUGUUUAUAGUUUUACCUAUAUUAUUGUCACAAAUUAGGAAUAGUUAAAACUAGUGAUAUUUCUCGCUUGCUAUUAAAACUAUAGUUUUUUUAAUUUGUUUCUCAAUUAUUGAAACAAUAAUAUUUUUAAUAUUAUCAUUCCCAUACUUUUAUAAAAAUCAUUUCUAUUAAACCACAUUAACAUGUUUAAAUUAAAGUAUAUUAUCCCUUCUUAAUUAAGGAACAAAAAUUAAACAAGCUUACGAACCCAGCUCGUGGAACUGCCUUGUUCUUUUUUCUUCUUUUUUUGAACUGCCUUGUCUCUCUUUCUUUUUUGUCUUCCAUUUCUUAAUCCUUCAAGAUUUAAAAUACAUAGCAAUUUAAGUUAGGAAUGUUGAUGAAACAUUAAAUAUAACCAGAAAACAAAUAAAAAAAUUAAUUAUUAUUUUUUAAAGUAUUUUUUACUUAAAAAUAUAUUAAAAUAAUAUAAAUUUUAUUUUUUAAUAUCAGCACAUUAAAAAAAUCAAGAUAUAUAUAUAUAUAUAUAAAAUAAUUUUAAAUAAAAAAUUAAAAUUUUAUCCAAUUUUUAUUUGGCCAACCGGGGCAUAUCCAGGAAAAGUCUAUCAAGAAACGAAGAUAUUCGGAGAAUCACAGAAAAUAAAUCAAACCAAAAGAUGGAUCAAAUUUGUCUCUACAGGAGCCAUCUUAGUGAUGGGGCAAAAACUUGAUGGAGAGAUAAUUAUUUAUUUAUCAAAACAAUUAUUUAUUCUAGAGAGGAAAACCCAAACUCAAUUUCAUAAUAAAAAAAGUUGGCAUAUUAAUAUAAAAAAAUAAAAAUCUACUAAAAUGGAUGGACUCAAAUAGUUCUGAAUGUUCAUCUUGUGAUCCAUUUUUGGGUCCCCGCACAAAAAAAAAAUCAAUCAAAAAUAUAUCAAAAAAAUAAUAAUUGUAGUGAAAAGAGGAUGUUAGAGCGUCUAGAAAAUGGUCAAAAUCAAUCCUAAAAGUCAAGCAUUAUUCUUGCAUGGUUGAUCUUUGUGCGCGUGCAGGACUUUUGAACGAAGCUUGGGACUUGAUCAAGAAGAUGCCUGGAAAACGAGAUGAAAUUGUGUUGGGGUCAUUGCUUGGUGCUGUCAGAGGCGUAGAAAUGCAGAUGUUGGUGAAAGGGUCAUUCAAUUGUUUCCAGAGAUGCAAUUAUCUCAUCUAAGAUAUAUGCAAAUAUGAGAAGGUGGGAUGAUUCUGCAAAGAUGAGGCAGUGUGGUGUCUCUAAAACCCCUGACUGUAGCUGGAUUGACGUUGGAGCUCGUGCUCAUGAAUUUCAUGCUGGUGACAGCUUACAUCAUCAUUCGUAGAACAUAUACCAAUUGCUGAAUGAGGAGAUGAAGAGAGAAGGUUACAUUCCAAAUAUAUAUCGGUUGCAUAUAGAGGUGGAAAUGUUGAAAACUUGGUGGCCUCUUUCAGCCAUUGAGCAGUGCAUUCGGAGGGAUUGUAUCUUCUGGUUGAUGACUAUAGCCAAAAUGUUGAAUGAUAAGUUGUGUUCUUAAGAGCUUGAGCAAGGAUCUCUAUCUUGCUGAUAGAAAUGUAUAGUUUACCCUCACAUGAGUAUGUUUCUGUAGAAUGAAAAUGGUUGUUGGAUUGGUACAUGCAUUUGCUGUAAAAUAAUGCAAGUUCAUUGCGGAAAGAAUGCUAAAACUAUUUUUUUUUCCAGAACAUAAGGAGGGAAUGCAGGGGGGAUAUUGGUGGAUUGAAAUAAAAUGCACUUGACACCUUAUAAGUUUUUAAGGGAUGCCAUAAAUCAUCAUUUUCAAUAGUCCUCUAAGCCAUAAUGUUGUUUAGUUUCUGAACAGACUUCACUUGGAAUCUGACAGAACCCAAUCUACGAUUAGAACUUAUGCAGAAAUUGCCUCAUAACGGGACUCCAUAUCUAUUUGUCUUUCCCUAGUGGGACCUUGUCAUUUCAAUUGUUGAUGUAAAUGCAGUGUAAAAUGUUUUUAGGCCUUGAUUGUAGUUUCUGCUUGGAAAGUAGUUUCUAUAAAAAAUAAAUUAUUCAAAAAUAAAUUAUUUUAUGAUAUUUAGCAGUGUUAUAAAAAAUAAAUUGAAAAAUAUUUUUAUUUUUCCUGUUUAAUUAUAGCAGACUUAACUUUAUUUUCAUAUAUUCUUUCGCCAUAUAUUUGUCCAUUUCUAAUUGGAUCUAUUAUUCUUGUAAUUCUCAUUUUCUAGUUUUUUUUAGAGGAGGUUUAAUUUUUUUGUUUUUACCUCCAGGUGAAAGCUAAGGUUUUCUAGUUUUCUGUACAUCACUUUUGGAACAUCCGAUACCUAGUCUAAGCGUAAUUAAAUGACUUUAAUCAAGCAUUGCAGCAUAUGUUGGACGUUUGAGAUUAGAGUAUUCAGAAGUGGAGAUGAAUUGUUAUGUGGAAUCUCGAGACUGCUUUGAUUCAUUAAUUUGCUCAAUACCGGGUGGUCAUCCAUUUCAAGUGGGGAGUGCCAUAUGGGCAAGGGUCAGCCCUGAAGGGAUUCGUUCUCCACAUUACCCUUUGAUAUUAGCUGGGAAACUCAAUCUAAGACAGCUCAAUACUCUCAGUUACUAAAGUUGUAGAUCAAACAAAUUAUCUAAGUGCUCACAAGCUUAUAUACAAUCAGUGAAACAANNNNNNNNNNNNNNNNNNNNNNNNNNNNNNNNNNNNNNNNNNNNNNNNNNNNNNNNNNNNNNNNNNNNNNNNNNNNNNNNNNNNNNNNNNNNNNNNNNNNAUUGAUCAUCCGUAAAUCAAGUAAUAAUGUAAUAUACAAGGAAAGUAAAAACUCAUGGAAUUGAAAAGCCUCCGCUAUAUAAAAACCCUUAAAACCGAAUGGAACUGUAUAAAUUAAUACGACAUCGUUUGGGCAUGCUUUUAAACUUGUUUAAAUCUUAAAACUAGAAUACACAAUGAAGCACAAAGUCUUGGUACCAUCAAAGCUAUGAAAACCCAAACUUGGAUAAAAUGGGAAGAUUAUCCACUAGAAAAUAAUAGCAAUUGUUGAUGCUCACCUCAAUAAAGUGAAACCAAGCUCGUCGCCAAUAUGGAUUUAUAUAUAGAACUGCACCAAUCACCAGCAGCACCAUGAUGUAUGCAACCCAAAAGGUCACAUAGAAAACCUCCAUAUUCAUGAAGCCACCAUGAUCUUCAUUGUUCGUUGAAGUUGGCGUUGAUGAUGGUGGCAUAACAGCAGCACAUAUUUUGGGUAGCGGUUCUCCACAAAGAAAAGGGUUGUCCUUGUAGCAACUCUCAUCAAACGUGGCAAACUGUGCAACUCUCGCAGGAGUCUUACCGGAUAAAUUAUUGUGAGCCACACUAAAAACUUCUAGAGAAAAUAGUUCAGUAAGUCGAGGUGGGAUUUCUCCAUCCAGUUUGUUGUAGGAAAGAUCCAAGCUCUCUAUUUCCUUUAAGUUCCAAAAUGUUGGUGGAAUUGGUCCAGUCAAACUGUUGUGCGAAAGGUUCAAUGCCUUGAUCUUGCUGAGGUUUCCAAUUUCAGGAGGAAUAUUCCCGGUGAAAUUGUUGCAUGAGAAAUCAAUUCCUAUUAAGUACUGGAUAAUGCUUCCUUUAUAAGGAAGGGAUACAUUCUUUGUUGUAAACUCGAAAGAUUGUUGUGAUGAGAACAUAGAAUCAUGGGAAUUGUAUUGAAAAGGAAAAGGAUGAGUAGAUAUCAUCCAAGAGAGGAUGUUACCAGAAAGAUAAUUGUGAGAUAGAUCAAUCACGGUUAAUUGGUCCAACCUGCAUAAUCGAAUUGGGAUUUCACCUUCAAGAUUGUUAUAACUCAAGAGUAGAAAUCUCAAGUUAGAUAGCCUGCCAAUCCAUUCUGGAAUUCUACCAGUUAAAUCAUUAUGGGAAAGAUCUAAUGCGAAUAUCUCAGAGGAGUCAUAAAAUGCCAUUGCGAUCGGUCCUUGCAACUUAUUUCUAGACAAAUAAACAACUCUUAAUUUUGAAGAAGUGUUGAAUCUAGGUGGUAAAGGACCAGAUAAAUUGUUCCUUGAUAGGUCCAAGAAUUCAAGAGAAGACAUAUUCCCAAUCCAUCCAGGGAUCUGCCCUUGCAAACUGUUGUUGGACAGGUCUAACUCGUACAUCAAGCUCAUGUUACCUAAUGAGGAAGGAAUGCUUCCAUUGAAACCAUUAUCAGACAUCAAUAAAACUUCUAACCCUGGCAAAUGAGCUCUAAUUUCUGAAGGGAUUUGUCCUUGGAAGUGAUUCAUUGAUAUACUUAGGAAUGACAAAUUCACAUGAGAACUCUUUGGCAACAAGAAUGGACCUGAAAGAGAACAAUUUUCUAAAGAAAGACGUUUGAGGUAUGUGUUGUUCUCAAUCAACCAAUUUGGAAACUCUCCCUUUAUUUGGAAGUUUGUAAGAUCCAAAGAUUGCAGGCUGAACUGAUGGUAAAGGAACUUGGGAAAUGCUCUCGUAUUUUGUCCACCAUUGCUCAAAGAAAGGGACUCUAACUGGAACUUUGGGGUGAGAUUAUGAUCAUCUUCUUCUGCACAUAUUUCAUUCCCUGAACCAUAAAAAGACUUGAGUUUUGAAAGGUUGUAUAACGGGCUCAAUGACAUAGGUAUCUUCAAGUGAUUGGAAGAGAGAUAUAAUCGUUGAAGGGAAGUCAUAUUUGCCAGACACGGAGGCAAGAAACCAAUGAGAUCAUUGUCAUACAUAUAUAGCUCUUGAAGAUGAUUUAAGUCACAUAGGCCUGAUCACAUUAUAAUUUAGGAAAAAAAAUUAAAACUUUGAGUUUCUAAUGGAAAAGAUAUAACCUAGGGAGAGGGUAAGAGUCAUCAACCUUACCUUGGGUUGUAGGUAAUUGGCCAUUUAGACUACAAUUCUGCAACCAUAAAGUUUUAAGAGAGGGCAUCGUUCUGAUGGUUUGUAAGAUGUUGUUACUGAGAGUAUUGGAACUUAAAUCCAAGAAUUCCAAGUUCUUGAGAUUAAAGAAGCCUACUACAAUCAAGAAAUUAUAUUAACGUAGAAGCAAUUAAAAUUAUAAAGGAAAUGAAAGAGUAAGAGUCAUCAACCUUACCUUGGGUUGUAGGUAUUUGACCAUCUAUUCUGCAGCUCUGCAAAAUCAAAGUUCUAAGAGAGGUCAUCGUUCCGAUGGCUUGGAAGAUGCUAUUAUUGAGAGUAUUGUAACUCAAAUCCAAGUAUUCCAAGUUCUUGAGAUCAAGGAAGCCUGCCACAAUCAAUUAGACAAGAAAUUAUAUUAAUGUAGAAGGAAUGAAGAUUAGAAAUAAUUCAUUACUUAUUAAUCGUGGCUAAAAAACUAAAAAUAUCUAGUAAGUGUAGAAAUUGUAUUGUCCAUUUAAGAGAAUGAUUUUUUAUACGCCUGACCCAAAAAUAAAAAUACACCAUUGUUAAUUUAUUAUCCUCCUAAAAAUAGCACUCUUUGUAUAUGAAGUUACCUUUUUAUUAAAGAAAUUAUUGUUUUUUACGUUAUUGUUUAAAUUAUAUUACACUAAAAUGAUGUUGAAAGAGGGGCAAAAUUAAAGUGAAAUAUUAUUUAUAUUAAAUGGAUGGUAGAAUUUUAAAAUAAUAAAGAUUUUAAUUGAGUUAAUUUCUAAAUUUGAGGUUUAAUUGACUUUCUGUUUUUUUUAUAUUAUGAAUUUAAUUUCUAAUGGAUUUGAGUUGACUAGGUUAUGAAAACAUAAAAGAGAAAUUCUAAUUUAGCAGGCAUAGAAGAAGAAUAGUCAAUGAUAAGUAAUAGUGGAGUUGAAAUUUGUUAAUUUACCUCCAUAAGGUACAGUGACAAUGAGUGCUUGCAAUGACAGAUUUUUUAGAGAAGGCAAUGCUCCAAGACUUUGAAGGGAGUGUUCAUCUAGAGAACAACUGUCCAGAUACAAAUUUUUCAGGAAGCUCGAAUUUUGGAACCCCUGUUUGUCAAAGUAGCAAANNNNNNNNNNNNNNNNNNNNNNNNNNNNNNNNNNNNNNNNNNNNNNNNNNNNNNNNNNNNNNNNNNNNNNNNNNNNNNNNNNNNNNNNNNNNNNNNNNNNNNNNNNNNNNNNNNNNNNNNNNNNNNNNNNNNNNNNNNNNNNNNNNNNNNNNNNNNNNNNNNNNNNNNNNNNNNNNNNNNNNNNNNNNNNNNNNNNNNNNNNNNNNNNNNNNNNNNNNNNNNNNNNNNNNNNNNNNNNNNNNNNNNNNNNNNNNNNNNNNNNNNNNNNNNNNNNNNNNNNNNNNNNNNNNNNNNNNNNNNNNNNNNNNNNNNNNNNNNNNNNNNNNNNNNNNNNNNNNNNNNNNNNNNNNNNNNNNNNNNNNNNNNNNNNNNNNNNNNNNNNNNNNNNNNNNNNNNNNNNNNNNNNNNNNNNNNNNNNNNNNNNNNNNNNNNNNNNNNNNNNNNNNNNNNNNNNNNNNNNNNNNNNNNNNNNNNNNNNNNNNNNNNNNNGGGCUCAUCAUCAUGACGUUAACAAGUAGGUAAUGUGAAUGUGUUACGAAUUACCUCUUGAGGCUAUCAAUUUGUUAAUAUUAUUGCCGCCCAAAUACAAGGUCUCCAAGCUGCUCAGAUAUUCUUGAUAUUUAUAUAAACAAAUAGUUAAUUAAUUCACUACAACACAAAAAUUGUGUUUUUCAAAAUUAAAUUUAAUAGAUAAUUGUGUUUAAUUAAAUUGAAUAUUUAUAAAAAUAAUAGUAUUUAAAAAAACUAACCUUCCAAAUCUAUUAACCCCUCCAGCCUAUUAUAAUCUAAAUAUAAUAAUUUAAGAGAUGAAAAUCCCUUCAUAGAUGAUAAAAUACUGUUAUCGAAGCUAUUAGAUCCCAAGUCAAGGAUCUCCAAAUUGCUCAAUCUUGAUAAUUCAUAACCACCUACAUAAAAUCAAAAAUAAAAUUAAGACUUCAUGUAAAGAAUAAAAAAGAUAUUAUUGGAGUAAUUUAAUUAUGAUCAUUGAUGAAGAGGCAAGUAAUUGUUACAGUGACUUCAUGUAAAGAGGUUGAGGCGGUGAAAGAGAAAGGAAUAAUUGUUACAAUGAUGAUGUCAUGAUUAUAAUAAUGUAAGGAAUUAAACAACACCUUAUUGCUAAAUAUGAUUUCUAUUUUCUUCUAUGAAUUACUUACUGUGGAGAACCAAAAUUAAUGAUACUAAUUAAACAACACCUUAUUUGAUUAAUUUAAAAAAACUGAUCUAAAUAUUUUGUAAUACUUAAGAGAGCAAACCUUUGAUCUAAAUAUUUUGUAAUACUUAAGAGAGCAAACCUUUGUUCUCAACCCAACCAGCUAUACUAUUAUUCCACAAGGAGAGAGUGUUGAGUUGUUGGAAAGGAAGGAACAAGGAGGCAUUUAAGUACCAAUCUCCCAGUUCCUGGUUCCUUACGCUGUCAAGAUAGAGUCUGGUGACUCGACCUGUACUGCUGUUGCAGACAAUACUUUCCCAAUCACAACAGUGGGCGUCAGCUUUUAUCCAGGAGGGAAGGGAAGUGCCAUUGGGAUAGUUAAGAGAAUCUUUGAGGUGCAACAGAGCGAUCCUCUCUUCCUCCAAGCAACCAAGAGGCAGCCAUCCUUGCAGCGAAACCGUUAUCACUAACACCGUGAACACCUGAAGGAACAGCCCCAUCUUAAUAUAUAUCAACUAUUACAAUAUUAAUUGUUGCGAAUGGCAGCGAGGAGGUUAAGGCUUUUAUAGAGGACUUCACGGACCCAUGCCGUGCAAAAAACUGCAUGAUGGCAACGGACACUUAGCAGCCACAUAAGUAAGAAGCUUCAUUUUUUUGGUUUUUUUAAAAAAUCCACAUCAUAGUCGCAUCCUCUCUCUCUUGUUUUUUCUUAAUUUUUCAAAUGGCCGAAAUCCUAUUAAUAAUUUUUUCCAACUCAAAUUCAAGCCCUCCUGACCAAAUAUUUGUGCCUUUACUAACUCUUCAACAUUAACUAAAAAAAAUGUUCAACAUUCUAAUUUGAUGAACAUUUUCCAUUUUAAUUUUAACAAGGUUCAAUUUGAAUUUUUUUCCUACUGAACACAAAAUUUUUAAUAUAGUUCUCCUAUGAACACUAUUUUUUUUAGUUUUAACAAACUAAAAGGUUGUUUGAAAAUAAAUCUGAAAUCGUGUUUUUUUUUAAUAAUUUUUUUGUUUAAAAUAAAUUUUUUAUGUUUUUUUUAUUGUUCUGUUAUGAUAUGUUAAUGUUAAAAAUAAUUUUAAAAAAAUAUUUUGAAAACAACUUUUUUAUUUUAUUUUAAUACAUAAUUCACAAUAUCUGAAUUGAUUCAUUUAACAUUUAUCUUUAAUAUAUAUAAUCUCUUUGUUUUUUUUUAUAAUACUCUUAAUCUGAAUAUCUUCUAGGAAAAAAAAGCAUGAUGGCAAUAGUCCAACGGACCCAACUCCUGGAAAAAAUGCAUGAUGACAUCAUCCAACGGACCCAUCUCGUGGAAAAAAAAGAAGAAGCAGGAUGCCAUAGGACGGCAGUGUCCUCUUCAUCACAUUUGUUUUCAUUUUGAUACUAACCUAUUUGUUUUAUGUUUGAAAAGUAUUUAAAAAAAUAAUUUUUUAUUUUAAAUAAUUUUUUUAGUAUUUUCAGAUUAUUUUAAUAUGUUGAUGUCAAAAAUAAUUUAAAAAAAUAAAAAAAUAUUAUUUUAAUACAUUUCCAAACGAAAAAUACUUUAAAAACCAUCGAUUACCACACUUCAAACACCCCUUAAAUGUUGCUCGAGUUGAUUUUUUUUCCUUGUCAAGACUUUACUAUUCAUCCUUUUGUAUAUUAUUAUAGAUGAACUAUUUAAAAAUUUAUGUUUUUUAAUUUGUUCCUCAAUUUUUUUUUAAUAAUUUAGUUCUAAUUAAACUCUAGUUGUUCUAAUUUCUUUUGAAAAGAUAGGAUUACAAUAAGAGGGACUGAAAUAAAAAAAAAAAACACCAAAUAUGAGUGUAAUGCCAUAAGUUUUGUAAAGGAUGCAUUUUGAUUUUUAAACUUUAAAAAUCACAUGAAUCAUAUAAUUUCAGUAUCUUAAUAUCUUUUCAAUUUAAUUUUAAUACAAAAAUUUAUUUUUAUUAAUUUUUAAUUUCUAGUUAAGAAAAAAGAGAGAAAUCAUCAAAUUCUAACGGGCCCAACUCUUGUUAAAAAUGAAGAAGAAAAAAGCAUGAUCACAAUCCCUUUCGUUUUCGUUUUGAUAUUAUUGAUUUUAAUUUUUUUAACUUGAGUUUAGAGAAAAACUAAAUGAGAAUUUACCCGUUAAACUUGAAUGAUCAAAUCAGUUAAUCCGUAAAUAGUUCAACUUAGUCAAAACAUGGUUUUACUUUUUUUAACUAUGCAAUAUUUUGAACUUUUUUUAAAAAAUAAUUUCUUAAAAUGAUAUAAUUUUAAAUUAACACUGAUCAACAUGAACUAACCUGCAUAAUUUAUUACCUAAACCCUGAUCACUCAUGCCUAACCAUAGAUUGUUCUAUUUUCUUUAGUUUUGAUGAACAUGACAUUAAUUUAAUAACUUUAGUUUUGAUGAACAUGACAUUCUUAUGAAAAAUGUCGCGCGCACGUGUGAGUGGGAAAAACGCGUUUGUUCUAUUUUCUUUACUUUGACUAUAGUCUUCCCUGACAUUAUUAUUGUCACAAAGUGGGCAUAUUUCUUCUGUUAUCUUUCAAGAUUUGAAUUGAAAACGAGGGACGUAAUUAUACAUUAGUUGAAAUUUUAUGAUGUACAUUAAUUAAUCCUUUUAAAUUGAAGUCAAGUUAUUAAUUAAUUAAUUCCUAUAGAUUUUCAAUCCUCAAACCAAUUUCAAACAAAUCACUUCAAGUGAUUCAUCGUAGUUCAUGAUCAAUUCCUUAAAUCCUAUAAAUAAGAUUGAUCGAUCAAAUUUUAUAAUUAAUAAUAAUAAAUGAGUAGCAUGCUAAUAAAUAUUUGUGGAAGUGAACUGUUUUUUAUUGAAAAAAGAAUAAUUAAGCGAUCCUCUUCUUUUUAUAUAAUAAUAUAAUAACAACCGUAGUUUAAAUUAUCUCGAAAGGCAUGAUUUUUCACAUGUAAUUUCCAUCAAAUUCAAAAGGCAUGAUUUUCCACACGUAAUUUCAAUAAUAAUAAAAAAAAACAGUUGCAAGUCUUUAUAUUUAUCAUCAUCAUCAUAAAAAAAAAACAGACCCAUCUCACACUGCACAUUUUUGUCCAUCUUACUUCUUUAAUUGUGGAUUCAAUCAAUAUUAUUAAAAUCAAGUUCAACAUCAAAUUAUUUUUAAUAUUAACACAUUAAAAUAUAAAAAAGUUAAAAAUUAAAUUUUAUUCUAUUUUUAUUUGGAACGCAGCACUAACCAGUUAUUAAAAUCUAGUUUAGCUAGAGAGGAUGUGAUUAAAUUAAUUAUUUCGCUAAAUGUGGUCGAUUAUAUUCUUAUCCAUCACUUUGAUUAUUUUUCACUUUCUUCACUCUUUCUAUGAUUCAAAAGUUACUUAUUCAAAAAAAAAAAAAAUUUAAUUGUGGAAUGGUAUGGUAGUUGGAUCUAUUUGUUUUUUUUUUUUGUGUGGUUAAAUUAAUUAUUUCCAUAAAUAUUUGGGGGAAAAUAAAAUUAAUUAUUGCUAGAGAGGCACUGGAGCCUUUGAUAUUUUGCAAAGGCAUGGAAUUCGAUGCCAAGGGAAUGUAAGAUAGUUGUUGACUGCUGGCGUCAACGUGAUAAAGCAAUUAAUUAUAGUGAAAAUCAAAUAGUUAACAACGACAAGCUGAAUUCAAGUUAGAUUUAAAGUUGGAUAAUAAUUGAAGUAUUUUUAUUUGAAAAUAAAUUAAAAUAAUAUAUUUUUUAUUUUUUAAAAAAAAUACUUUUAAUAUCAUUAUAUUAAAAAAUUCAAUAAAUAUAUAUAUAAAUAAUUUUAAAUAAAAAAAUCAAAUUUUAUCUGAUUUUUAUUUGAAAAACAAUACCAUCUAGGGCAUAUCCAGGAAAAGUCUAUCAAGAAACAAAGAUAUUCGAAGAAUGACUGAAAAUAAAUCAAACCAAAGCCAUGGAAUUAGAAACCAAAAGAUGGACCAAAUUUGUCUCUAUAGUGAGCCAUCAAAGUGGUGGGGCAAAAACUUGAUGGGGAGAUAAUUAUUUAUUCAUCAAAACAAUUAUUUAUUCUGGAGGAAAACCCAAACUCAAUUUCAUUUGAUCAAAGUCAUACCAUCAAAGAAAACAAGAAAAAGGUAUUUAAUUAAUAUAAUAAUAAAAAAAUUUAAUUGUGGAAUGGUAUGGUAGUUGGAUCUAUUUGUUUUUUUUUUUUUUGUGUGGUUAAAUUAAUUAUUUCCAUAAAUAUUUGGGGGAAAAUAAAAUUAAUUAUUGCUAGAGAGGCACUGGAGCCUUUGAUAUUUUGCAAAGGCAUGGAAUUCGAUGCCAAGGGAAUGUAAGAUAGUUGUUGACUGCUGGCGUCAACGUGAUAAAACAAUUAAUUAUAGUGAAAGUGAAAUAGUUAACAACGAUAAGCUGAAUUCAAUUUAGAUUUGAAAAUUCUCAGAAACUUUACUAUUUUUCGCAAUGUAUGAAUAAUGAAAAUUCAGAAACUCUCCUUGCUGCAGGAAAUAGCCCUUGUUGUUGAAUUUGAAUCUAUGAAAAUAAUUCUGAAUUUUCACUAUAAUUUUCAUUAUAGUGAAAAUGAUGCAGCAAUAAAAUAUACCCACAGAACAGUAGGCUAGCCGAGUCAAAAGGAGGGUUGCCUCAUCUUAAUGAUAUUUAAUGUUGGAUAACGAUUAUUUUUUAAAAAAUUUUAUUUAAAAAUAUAUUAAAAUAAUAUUUUUUUUAUUUUUAAAAAAUAUUUUGACAUAACACAUUAAAAAAUACAAAAACAUUAUUCACUAUUGUUUUUUUUUUUUUUUUGAACUGCCUUGUCUCUCUUUCUAUUUUGUCUCCCAUCUGUUAGGCCUUCAAGAUUCAAAAUACAUAGCAAUUUAUGUUAGGAAUAUUGAUGAAAAAUAAAAUAUAACCAGAAAACAAAUACAAAAACAAAAAUUAUUUUUUAAAGUAUUUUUUACUUAAAAAUAUAUUAAAAUAAUAUACUUUUUAUUUUUUAAAAAAUAUUUUUUAUAUCAGUACAUUAAAAAUUUAAAAAUAUAAAAAAUUAAUUUUAAAUAAAAAAAUAAAAUUUUAUCCAAUUUUUAUUUGGAAUACAGUAUCAACGAAAAAAUCUAUCAAGAAACAAAGAUAUUCGAAGAAUGACAAAAAAUAAAUCAAACCAAAGCCAUGGAAUUAAAACCAAAAGAUGGACCAAAUUUGUCUCUAAAGUGAGCCAUCUUAGUGAUAAUUAUUUAUUUACCAAAACAAUUAUUUAUUCUAGAGGAAAACCCAAACUCAAUUUCAUUCGAUCAAAGUCACAACAUCAAAGAAAACAAGAAAAAGGUAUUUAAUUGAUAUAAUAAAAAAAAAAGUUGGUAUACUAAUAUAAAAAUAAUAAAAAUCUACUAAAAUGAGUGGAUUCAAAUAGAUCUGAAUAUUCAUAUACCUUAUCUUCUAAGUAAGAAGAAAUAAUAAAAAUAGGUGACGUUCUUUUCUCCGGUUGUAAAUGGAUGGAGACAUCAAUACCAAAAACAUGGACAAUUUCUUUUUUCAAUUUGAAUACUUAUUUUCACAAAAUCUUAUCAAUAAAAUAUCUUCACUAGUUCUAUUAUUAGAAUGAUGAUGUCACAAUUAACUUUUUUUUAGAUGAGUUUGGAUUGAUUUUAUUUUAUUUUUAAUUUCUGAAUAAUAAGGAUAUAUAAAAAAUAUUUAUACUUUAUAUCUUCUUUUAUUCAAGUACUCUUUCUAUUUAAGUACUUGAUAAACUAGUGUCUGUCCAUAAAUUUGUUUACUUUGAUUUCUCUAAUAAAUGUAAGGUUUACAUAUAGUAACUAUGGAAUAAUAAGAAUAUUAACAAUAAAAUUUAUUUAUAAAUAAAUCAUUGAUUUAAUUUCUUUGAAUUUUAAAUUUGGUGUGAAUAAAGUCAAGGGAUUUCCAAGAUAAAUAGUAUUUCAAAAAAUUGAGAAUCUCCCACUCUUCACUUUGUCUAUAGUUUUACCUAUAUUAUGGUCACAAAUUAGGGAUAGUUAAACUAGUGAUAUUUCUCGCACGCUCUUAAAAUUAUAGUUUUUUUAAUUUGUUCCUCAAUUUGUUUUUGAUAAUUUAGUUCUAAUUAAAGACCAAUUAAUUUUGAUUUAUUAUGAAAAGAUAGGAUUGAAUGAAGAGGGACCGAAAUGAAAAAGGCACCAAACAUGGGUCUCAUGCCAUAAGUUUCGCAAAUGAUGCAUUUUGGUUCUUAAACUUUGAAAAUCACGCAAAUCAUAUAAUUUCAGUAUUUCAAUAUUUUUCCAAUUUAAUUUUGAUACAAAAGUUUAUUUUUGUUAUUUUUUAAUUCCUAGUUAAGAGAAGGGAGAGAGAGGUCAAUAAAUUCAGGUGAUAGAGAGAGAAAAAUGUUAUUGAUAUCGAUUGAGAUCACCAAAAUGGACGAUAUUUGUGUGAAAUGACUUUAUUUAAUGAUGAAAGCUCAUAUUAAGUAUUUUUUUUACCUUUAAAGUUUGUGGAAAAAAAGAUUUGAUUUUGUAGUUGAUUUUUACCUUAAAAGAAACAUGAUAAGAUUUUUUUUUUUUUUUAACACUACUAAUCACUUCUUUAAAUAUACGUUAUUGUUGAUGUAUGAGAAUUUAAGUGAAAAGAAUUUUAGGAUUUCUAGAAAAUUGAAUUCUCUCAAAUUUUGUUAUAUUUUCUGUUUUUAUUUUUAUUAAUUUGGAUUUUCUUUCUUACUUUAUAAUAUUUUUUGGAUGAGAAUGAAAUAUUUUAUAUAAACUUUAAAAACAACACUGAUAUAUAUAUAUAUUCUGUGUUACUAUUACUUAUAUAAAUGGAUGAAGCAUGAAAAUUAUAGAAGGCGAUUGUCACAAACUAAACUCUGAAGAUGAAAUUGAAAAAUCUCAAGGAGCAAACUAAAAAUUUAACAAAAUCUUAAAUUAUAGCAUAUUAUCCCUUCUCAAGAAAUUAAAUAUGGCUGAAAACAAAUACAAAAAAAAAAAAAUUAUAGCAUAUUAUCCCUUCUGAAGCUUACGGGCAAUAUGGUCUCAUGGACUCUUAUCAUCCCUUUGAAGAAACUCCUGAUAGCAAUGGUCUCACGGACUCCUCACAUCGCACUUUGAUUAUUCUUCACUUUCUCGACUCUUCCUGUGUUUCACUACUUGAUGAUUCAAGAGUUAUUCAUUUGAAAAAACAAUUAAUUGUGGAGUCGUAUGGUAGCUGCAUCUAUUUGUUUUUUUAUUUUUUGUGAUUAAAUUAAUUAUUUCGAUAAAUGACACAUGUAUUGAGGGAAAAUAAAAUUAAUUAUUGCUAGAGAGGCACUGGAGCCUUUGAUAUUUUGCAAAGGCAUGGAAAAUUCGAUGCCAAGGGAAUGUAAGAUAGUUGUUAGACUGCUGGCGUCAAGGUGAUAAAGCAAUUAAUUAUAGUUAGCAACGACAAGCUGAAUUCAAGUUAGAUUUAAAGUUGGAUAAUAGCUAUUUGUUGAAGUAUUUUUAUUUGAAAAUAAAAUAAUAUAAUAUAUUUUUUAUUUUUUUAAAAAAAUACUUUUAAUAUCAGUAUAUUAAAAAAUUCAAAAAAUAUAUAUAAAAAUAAUUUUAAAUAAAAAAAUCAAACUUUUUCUAAUUUUUAUUUGAAACACAGUACCAACCAAGGUAUAUCCAGGAAAAGUCUAACAAGAAAUGAAGAUAUUCGGAUAAUGAUUGAAAAUAAAUCAAACCAAAGCCGUGAAAUUAGAAACCCAAAGAUGGACCAAAUUUGUCUUUACAGUGAGCCAUCUUAGUGGUGGGGCAAAAACUUGAUGGAGAAAUAAUUAUUUAUUCAUCAAAACAAUAUUUAUUUAUUUUGGAGGGAAACCCAAACUCAAUUUCAUUUGAUUAACGUCACACCAUCAGAGAAAACAAGAAAAAAGUAUUUAAUUGAUAUAAUAAAAAACAAAUUUGGUAUACUAAUAUAAGAAAAAUAAAAAUCUACUAAACUGGAUGACACUCAAACAGCUCUGAAUAUUUGCAUUCCUUAUCUUAUAAGCAAGAAGAGACAAUAAAAAAAAGUGACGUUUCUUUUCUCCCGUUGUAAAUAGAUGGAGACAUCAAUACCAAAAUAAACAUGAAUUAGUUAGAAUAAUUAUAACUAACUAAUAUAAUAGGUUUUAAUAUUUACUUUUAAUAUAUAUAAAAUGAAAGAUAUUAAGAGUUGAUUAAUGUGUUUAAGCUAUAUAUGUUUAAAUAUUUGCAAUAUGUACAUAUUCUAAUUUAAUAUUAGUAAUUAUAAAGUUUAUUUAGUUAAUAAAAACUCCUUCAUUUUUGUUUUCUCAUCUCUUACUAUUGUUCUUUCUUUUCUUUUGAAUUGUCUUGUCUCUUUAUUUUUUGUUUCCCAUCUCUCAAUCCUUCAAGAUUCAAAAUACAUAGCAAUUUAUGUUAGGAAUAUUGAUAAAAAAAAUAAAUAUAAUCAGAAAACAAAUACAAAAAAAAAUGAUAUUGGAGAAAGAGAGUAUCUAAUUCUAGUAAAGCAUUUAAAUUUCCAUUGAAAGAUGCGUCAUAUAUUAAUAUAAGGUCCAUUUUCCAUUAACUAAUCUGCGGUUGCAUUCUAACGCUUGAGAUUUAUUUUUUUUACUUAAGCAUUUAAUUCUUUUUUAUACACUAAAUUGAAAUUAAAGCAUAUUACCCCUGCUCAAGCUUAUGGGGUCUCAACUCUCAUGAACCCGUCUCGUAGAUAAAACAAAAAACGCUUGAUAGCAAUUGUCUCAUGGACCAUCCCACUGGUCUCUAUCGUGGAAAAAAAAUACAGAUGAUAAUGAUCUUACAGACCAUCCCACUAACCCACAUCUUUCUUUCUCUUUUGUCUCUCAUUAUACUUAUAAAACCUAUUCAAGUCGUAGACUGAGUGAUUUAGUUUAAAAUAAUAUUAUUUUAAGAUAUAUAUUUUUUUAAAAUUAUAACAAAAUCAUUUUAAAAAAUAUUUGAAUAGUCAAAUCUAGUUUCACUUGGAUUUUAACUAGACAAUAUGUUGACCUAAUAGAUUAAUAUAGUUUAAUCGGGUCAACUUUUAUAUAGUUUAAUAAAACCUAGUUUGAAAGUAAAAUACUAAAUUCUUCAUACCAUCAAGUUGACCCGUUAAGAUAAACCGGAUUUAAUAACACCUCUCCCGGCUCUCAAUCCAGUGAACACAAAUGAAAAAAAGCUUUACGUACAGAUGUUUGGGUUUGUUUAGAGAUUCAUUAUAGCAAAUAGGCUCAAAAGGUUGGAUAUGUUAUUACUUUCUCCCCCUGUCUUGUAUAUAGUGUCCUCUGUUUUUAUUUUAUGCUAGAUAGCCUCUAAUUUUGGCUCUACCACCUUUCUAUAAUAAUACUCGACUAUUAUAAAAAGAAGAAGAAGCAGAAGCAGAAAUAACUUAGCGCGUUUGUGUAUAGAUAGUUUCCUUGAAUGAAGCAUGUACAUGUCUGAUGAGCAGAAAGACAAAAAAUGGUAAAUGAGGACAGCAUUGCAUCACCACCAUGGCAAACUCGGCAUGACCGAGGAGUGCAGCAAUGUGCAAAGGAGUGUUUGAUGUGCUAAGGAUAUAUAGCCAAGUAAUUGUUUCUUUUUUGAGACUAAGAGUCAGUGUGUAGCGGAAUUAGCCUUCGUUCUCUCCUUCUGGUCAAUCGUCUUGGAGAGCCUAUGAUCUUGCCUUGAUCAAGACUCCUAUCUUAGUUAUUCAACAAAUAUGAAGAAAUUUUCCAAAAUCAUUUCUUGACAAAACAUCUCACGCAUCCCUCAGCCCUUGUCAAAUCCUCCAUCCCCUUAUGCCCUUGCACAGACUUGCCCCCGGGGUAAAUUCUAAAACUCGGGGCAUCUUUUAUAUGGAAUAUGCAAUUUCCAAAAGGUCUGAGGAAUCGAACAAAGAGGGAAAUGAUUGGGCAUCAGUCUUGAAACCACAAUGAUCCGAUGGACGAGAGCCGCUAGUGGAGAAGGAUUCAUGCAUCUCUGUUUUUGUGUAUUCCUCAUGCUCUUUUUCACUGUACAACAGAACUUUUGCCUCUUCAGUUUUUCCUUUUAGACUCUCUUCAAUCAAUGGAAAGAUGAAACACCACAGAAAGGUGUAAACUGACAAGAAAUUCAAUGCUCACACUUUGAAUUUUAAUUUGCAUGUUUCAGGUCAUUGAUAGCUAUACAUUAAAAUUACAGAGUAAAAUAUCAUUUAUCAAGAUUGUCUUGUUCGUUAUUGAUGAUGAUUAGUGAUUCGAAAUGGAUGCUGGAAAUUGGAACAAAGUGUUUGUGUAAUUUGCUACCGCUUUGGGGGACUUGAUUUUCUUUUCUUUGAGUUAUGUCGUGAAUUCAAGUUACGCAGGAUUUAAGAAUUCUUCAAGACAUAGAACCAUCUUAAUUGGGGAUCGAAAACUUGAUGGACGAGUUGUUAGAUAGGUUGUGAGAACAUCAAGGCCCAAAGAAGAAGAGGAAUUCUUUAUGGGGCACAGUCACAGGCAUAUCUAGAGAAGAUACAGAGUUGAGUUGAAACUUGUUAAUUGAUCUUAAAAAGAUACAGAGCCCCUGACUUAAGGCAAAGACAAAUAUUUUAGAGAAGGUGGUGCUCAAGGGUUUUAAGGGAGUUUUCUCCGGAAAACAAAAGUCCAUAAACAACUUUUCCAAGGAACUUAAAUUCUCAAUUAAUUAAUUAAUUAUAAUUUGGGUUAACUUUCACACUAUUUAAGUUUUUUUUUAAUAAAAAAAUAUUACUAACAUCUAUAUAUAUAUUUUUUAGAUUGAAAACAUGACUUGUAGCGUAGCGUGGCUACAAAUCUAUUAUUUUCACUAUUAGAGACAAGUACUAACUUGUUAAAUCUUUUAAAAUACACUAGAUGGAGUAGAAGUUCUAGAUGGAGUAAAGUUGUUAAAAUAAGAAAUUUACUUUGGAUUAAUAUACAAUCUAACCAAUUGAUACAAUAGAUUAUAAUAAAUUUAGAGUAGAAGUUCUAAAUAAGAUGACUGUAAAUUAGCGGCACAAGUCGUUCUUCCAAUACGCCACUUCCCUUCAACCAAGGAUAUUCAUUAACUUAAUUAUUAUAAUUCAAAGUAGAUUGUUUCCUUCCAAACAUGUUCUUGCUUAUCAUCCUUUAUCAAUUUUAUGCCAACAUAUUAGUUUUUUGUUUUUUAUGAUCACUUAAUACCUUCAAAUUAGUUUUCAAGUUUUGAGAUUAAGUUCAUGGAUCUAUUCUUACCACGAGAUUAAAAAUGAUUUUAUAUUUAAUUAAAUAAAUAAAUAAAUUAGUAAUAUAGAUAUGAUAUUCUUUCUUAUCCAAUUACCACAACAGAACGACCUAGCGUUACCAUGUUGAAACAAUGCCUACCCAAAUAACUCAAGCCCAAACAAUGACAUGAAUUGGGUAAGCAAUGCCUCCUUUCUUUUUUAUAACAAAUACUACUGGGCUUCAGAUAAAACGCUUCAGAUAAAACAAGAAGAAGAUAAAAUCUUUAUAAGCUAAGAUAAAUUGAUAAAGGAGAUUCUCAAUAAGUUAAAAAUGGAGGAUUGUUAAUCUUUAUAAGCUAAGAUAAAUUUCUAAAGGAGAUUCUCAAUAAGUUCAAAAUGGAGGAUUGUACAAAAAUAAAUACUCUAGUUGAGUGUGGAGUGAAGAUGUCAAACAAUUGUCGCACCCGACAUCGCGGCGGCCUUAAAAAUAACAUCAAUGGAAAGAACAAAUUUCUGGCAUCUUGUUCUUUUAGGAGAAAAGGUCUUGUUUAAGGAGUCGCCACCUAGUAUUAUGGUCACUAGAAACCGUAACUAGUUAACAGAGAUUCUAUGGUUCGGGACUGGUUACGUAAAAGGAAAGAUAUUAUCAUCCCUUAAACGUCUUGCCUGAGGCAGACUGCAUUGCUGAUUUUGUUUUAAAUUGCCAAACGUUUAUUAGUUUAUGCUAUGAUAAUUUGCUUAUAAUAUUCCCGACUCUGGCGCCAGUGAAUAUUCAACUACGGAUACUUCCAACUCUGACGUUGGUAAAUAUUAUGUAGCUAUAAAAUAAAUUAGAUCAAUAUUUUUAUACCUGACUGUAGCAUAAGUGAAUAGACAAAUAAAAUAAAUUUAUUUUUACACAUACACAUAUUUUUUAUUUUUAAUGUAGCUAAAUAAAAAUAAAAUACAAUUAAAUUAGUAGUUUUGUUCAUGACUCUAGUGUCAAUCAAUAAACAAAUAAAAUAAAUUUAUAUUAUUUUUAUUCAUGCAUACAUAUUUUUUUAAUUUUUAAUUUUUAUUAUUAUUUUUUGGACCGGGUCCAGCUCAGUCCAUGUGGCUGGGCUGGACCCAGCAAGCUUAGCCGGGUCACAGGCUUGACCUGGCUGGCCAUUGCUUUUUAGUUUUUACCAGCAAGCGUGCGUGAACUGCUCACGCACGCCUGCUACAGGAGCAUGUAAUUAAAAUGCAAGGAGGGAAAGCGCAACUUACCUGGCGCUGCACUUGAAGAUGAGGAUGACGGUGAUGGAGGGCCGGCCGGCUGAUGCUAUUUUCUCCUCCUCUGUUUUCCUCUUGGUGUUCCUCUAGUCUUCCUUCUCUCUGCCCUCUUUUUCUUUACUUUUAUGGGUUCCUUCCUCUUCUCUGAUCUCUCUCUCUCUCUACUGUGUUUGCUCUGUUUUUGUUUUUUUUUUUUUUUGUGUCACCUGUGUUUGUUCCUUUUCUUCCCUUGGUUUCUUGGUUCUCUCUCUCUCUCCUGCGUCCUCGGUUUUCUUUUUUUAUGCUUCCCCCCAGUUUUUCCCCCUAUUUGCGUCUUCGUCCUCCUGUGCUCCCUUCGUGUUCUAGGUUCUCUCCCCUCGGUUCUGCCCUUUUUUUUCCCCUCGGUUCUGCCCUCCCCCCCCCUCGUCUGUGAAUUUUUGCUCUGAAGACGAAGGCGAAGCUGGGGUACGCUGGCUUUUUCUCUGGUUUUUCUUCCCCUGUUUCUGUUUCGUUUUUGCUUCUCUCUCUAUCCUACCGGUUCACUUCCUCCCGGCCUCUCUGUUCUUAUCUGGCUUUAUAGCCAAAGAAUGCCAAGCAUCCCUACGAUUGAAACGGCUUCAAGCCUUUAAUCCAGAACCGGUUCCUGAUGAAUAGCUUCUAAAACGAUUGAAACGGCUUCAAGCUUUUAAUCCAGAACCGGUUCCUGAUGAAUAGCUUCUAAAACGAUUGAAACGGCUUCAAGCUUUUACUCCAGAAACAGUUCCUGAGGAAGAAGGCGAAGACGCCGUUUGUGUGAUGGGAAUAGCCAUUUUUAAUCUGGUCAUAGAAGUUCUGAAAUCGUGUAAUCAAGCCCCUGGGUAAAUUGUAAUUGGACCCCUGUAUUUCGGCGUCUUUUACAAGCUAGUCCUUGAACUUUAACCUGUUGCAAUUUUGCCCCCAAUUAACCCCAAACUUUGAUAUUUAAUUAAGUCCCUGAUUUUAUUAAUUAAAUUAAUUUCAAGUUCAAAUAAGUCUCAAAACUUAUCAAUUCUCCAAUUAAGUCCUUGAUUUGAUUAAUUAAAUUAAUUCCAAGCUCAAUUAAGUCUCAAAACUUAUCAAUUAUCCAAUUAAAUCCUUGAUUUGAUUAAUUAAACUAGUCAAGAGUUUAAUUAAAUCUCUAAACUUCCAAUCAUGUUGCCCUUAAUCCAAAUUUAUUUUUAAUUUCAUUCUUUAUUUGUUUUUUCAUCAUCAUUUUUCAUUUUUUUAUUAUCAUUUCUCAAUAAAUAAUAAUAAUAAUAAACAUAAAAAGGGUCAAAAAUUGGGUUAUGACAACAAUGAUUAAGGGGAAAAGAUAAACUCUACAACAUUAAUCAAAAGCCUAGUUGAGAGUUUGAAAUAUUUAACAUGCAUUCAUCUGGAUAUUCUUUUUGGAGUAGGACUUGUGAGUAGGUUUAUGGAAACACCAACUAUGACUCACUUCAAAGCUUUGAAGCGAAUUCUUCGGUAUAUAAAAUGUACUAUUGAUUUUGGAUUAUUUUAUGGAUAUUUUAAUAGUUUUGAUCUUGUGGGCUAUAGUGAUAGUUAUUGAGUUAGAGAUAUGAAUGAUAAAAAGAGUGCUAUGAGUUUUGUUUUCUACAUUGGAGACACAUCAUUCACAUGGAAUUCAAGUAAGCAAUCUAUAGUCACUUUGUUAAUAUGUGAAGCUGAAUAUGUAGUUAAUACAUCAUGUGUUUAUCAUUUCAUAUUGCUAAGACGAUUAUUGAAAGAAUUGUGAAUGCCACAAGAGAAGCUUUUAUAUGAACAACUGUCAAAACCUCUAAACCACAUCAACCACGAAGCAGUUUACCUCAAGUAAGGUGCGCUAGGGAUGCUAAUACCUUCUCUAACCACAACCAGUCUCUUACCCUCGAAUCUCUGACAAGACCAUUACACCCGAGUUUCCUAGCAACCCUGAAUCAAACAACUAGCUAGGUGGCGACUCCUAAUUGACCCCCCGAUGUUGCGCGUCCAUGUGUGACACUAGGGAAGAAGUAGAUGUUGAUGAGGUCAAGUUAAUCACUGUUCUUGCAGUUAAGGCUGGUGAAGUUAUAGCAAUUGAUGGAGUUGUUGUUGAUGGUAACUGUGAAGUGGAUGAGAAAACUUUAACUGGAGGUUCAUUUCCGGUUGCCAAACAAGUGGAUUCCGUAGUGUGGGUUGGAACUAUUAACUUCAAUGGUGACAUCAAUACUUCUCUCUGACACUCUAUGAAUUGUUUUUGAAUGCAUUUUGGCUUUGGUGGUAAUGGGGUGUUAGAACUACUGCUUUAGCUGAAGACUGUGUGGCGGCUAAAAUGGCAAAGCUUGUGGAAGAAGCUCGAAACAGCAAGUCUAAAACUCGAAGAUUCAUAGACAAAUUCGCUCAAUACUAUACUCCAGGUUAGGCAUACUGCAGUCCAAUUACUCAUCCAGUUUUAUAGGCUUUCACUGAAGUAGGGUACCGAGAACGAGUAUUUGGACAGCCCUUCACAUCAUUCUUUUAGAAUGAAUCGUCAGCUCCAUUGCUAGACAAUCCUACCUUUCAUUUUGUGGGAAAGUUUUCAUUUUAGUUCAUUGUUCAGAUUUGCAGCGGUGAUAUUCAUGCCGGCUGGCGUAGCAGUGAUUCCACUAGCAUUACGAGUUCAUAAUCGUGAUCACUGGUUUUACUUAGCACUGGUUGUUCUAGUCAGUGCAUGUCUAUGUGCUCUUAUCCUGUCUACACCAGUUGCAACUUUUUGUGCACUAACAAGGGCAGCAACAGCUGGUCUUCUAAUCAAAGGGAGGGUACUAUCUUGAAACACUAGGCAAGAUUAAGGCAAUGGCUUUCGACAAAACCGGUACCUUAACAAGAGGUGAAUUUGUUGUCACAGAUUUCCACCAUCUCUGCGAUGACAUCAGCUUAUAGACAUUGCUUUAUUGGUAGAGUAGGUCUAUAAUUCUUCUAUUAUGGCGAACUUUACUCUUCACUGGCAAGUAAUGUUUAUGCAAGUUUCUAAGGGUAUCAAGCAUCGAGAGUAAAUCAAGUCAUCCAAUGGCAGCUGCGCUAGUCGACUAUGGAAGGUGGCAUUCAGUGAAACCAAAGCCUGAGGAUCUAGAGGAAUUUCAAAAGUUUCCUGGAGAAGGAAUCCAAGGAAAAAAUGAAGUGAAAAAUAUAUGUAUUGAUAACAGAAAGAUUGCUCACAGAGCUUCCGGAACAGGUGAAAAGCCCUAAUUAUAUCCUAGUAAGAAUAAACAAUAUGAUUCACAUUUCAAACUAACCAUCUAUAAAAUAACUUUCAUCUUGAAAGUUUUUGGCAGUCUUAUAAAAUAACCAUGAUUUCUAUCGAUUUGUAAUCUGAUAUGUAAAUCAAUCGGUUCCCUUAAACCUUAAACUAACAAUAUAUGAUGUGUCAUAAUUUAACUUUUUAUUUUUUUCAAAAAUAAAUAAAAAUAAAAAAAAUAAUUUAAAAAUUGAAUCAAGAUAACAUAAAUUAAGAAUUAAGGAUUAAUAAUGAUGAGAUUAUAAAUUUAAAAGUUAAUUUGAUCAAAACAUGAAAGAAUUGAUAAGUUUGAGGACUUCAGUAAACUUUAAAUUAGUUUAAAUAAUAAAAUCUAUAGUUUAUUUGAAAAAAAUCAAAUUUCAGGAUUAAUAUGGGUUAAAAUUAUAAAAAAUUAAAGUUAAAGAACUAAAAUAAAUAAAUGGUGAUAGCAUUAGGAGGGUUAAUUAAUUAUUCCAAAAGUAAUUUUAAAAUAAUUAAAAGUUAAAUAGCUAAAUAAAUAAUGAAUUAAUUAAAUUGAAAACCAAAAAUUAUUUUUGUAAAUGGUAACAGGUUUCAAUUGCAAUUUAUCUAGGAGAAAAAUUAAAAUAGCCUUUUCAGGUGAAAACAACGCUGUUUCAAAACAAACUAUUCAUCUCCUUCAUCCCACCGAUUCAGCAGAAACGGCAGUAGAUCAUGGUCACGUCUCUAUCCAGUAUCUCUCCUCCACAAUGUGCCCCUAACAGUCCAGUAAUGGGCAUUUUUUUUUUCUCAAGCAUGACAGGACCGUGCUAAUCUCCACACUAUCCCGGGAGAGAUGAAGGGGCAUUCUCUUGCUCUAUAAAGACCACAACACACAGAGACGAAGAGGCAGGGGGGAAAAAACAGAGACAUAGAGAAGACAGAGAGACUUGUCACCUUCCUCCAGCAAAAGGGAACUUUAACUUCCCCUCACCGUAGGUUGUUGAUCCAACCAACCAAAUACAAACCCAGAGAAACCAGGACGAACAGAGAAAGGCCACAAAGAAGGGGAGAACCACAGACAGAUAAUACAAAAAAAACACAGACGAAAUGAACAAACACAGAUAAUACAGAGAGAGACCAAGAGGAACAAGAACAGAGAGAGACAGGGAACAAGAGAAAGCAAAAAAAAAAAAAGAAAAAAGAGAGAAAACAAGCAGAGAAAAGCAAGAACAGAGGUGAAGUGAACAAAAAACAGAAGUAGAGGGGAAGAAAGUAACAUUGGUUAGCCAGCCCUCCAUCACCAUCGUCUUCGUCUUUAAGUAGCAACUCCAGGUAAGUCUUUCUUUCUCUUUCCCCCGCUUUGCAGCUUCAAUUCUUAAUAAUAAUUGUAAUAAUAAUAACAAACAUGGAUUGAGGACCAUAAGGAACAGCAAACGAAAGGCCUUUUGUCAUGAUAUAUAUAUAUAUAUAUAUAUAUAUAUAUAUAUAACAGUAUGUAAGAAAUGGUUGCGGUGGCGAAUCUAGAAGGUGACAGACCAGUAACAGUGGCUGUGGAUUAUUAGAAUUCCAACAAGAAGAAUUAUAAUCUGGACUGGUUCAAAAUUAAGAGUCAAAGAUGUUAAUUACCUCAAUGUCUAGGAUUCAAAGCUUUUCAGAAUCCACACACCAAUUCAAAGAUCUAACAAACCAUCUUCAUUUGCAUCCAUACUCCCAAUAGCUCUUUCCACUCAGUAUACGAAUUUCAUACAAAACUUUAACUAUAGCAAUCUGAAAAUGGAAAUAUAUAAAGUUAAGCAUGAAAAAUGUUUCCCAAGACUUCAUUACAAGAUUGACCGGUUAAAUUUGUGAUUCAAACUGAAAAUACUUGCCCGGAUUAACCAAUGAAGAAAUUUAAUUAUUAUAUCACACAGAAGCUAAAAUGAAAAACCGAAACAUAAAUGAAAAUUAAUACAACAUCGCUUGAGCAUGCCUUAAAACUUGUUUAAAUCUUAAAACCAGAAUACACAACAAAGCACCAAGUCUUAGUACCAUCAAGGCUAUGAAAAUCCAAACUUGGAUAAAAUGGAAAGAUUCUGCACCAGAAAAUAAUAGCAAUUGUUGAUGCUCACCUCAAUAAAGUAAAACCAAGCUCGUCGCCAAUAUGGAUUUAUCUACAGAACUGCACCUAUCACUAGCAAUUGCGAGUAUUUUCUGCAUUUGAAUUUGAUUAGCUUGAUUUUAUGGUUUAUGCAAAUUGAUUUUCUUCUGAAUAGACUGUUGUGAGUGUCUGAUGCCCUGGUCUUUGAUUUUAAUUAUGGUUGGCUUUUCACGUUUUCAUUUUGAUUGAUUGUUUCUCUAUAACGUGGAUCAUUUCUGUAGGUUUCAUGGUCUUAUAUCCAGAGACCGGAGCCUGAAGAAAACUCGUCUGAGGUGUGUCAUUGUUUUUCUGAUGUUAAUAAAUUUUAGAGCCCAAAGAUUGGAAAAACUAAGAAUGAUGCAUGAUUGGACAUGCUAAAUGAGUUGUUCUGGUUUUCAUUUGUCUAUCUUGUAUAAUACGUACGGUCGAUUUUGUGUUUGAUGCCAGGCCAUCUAUCAAUGCCAACUUCUGGGCUGUAUUUUUCUCUCAUUCAUUGACAAUUGCAUGACUAGGAUUUGACCACCAUUCUUAAUAUUUUAUGCAACCUUUGGAUAAUUUUGGUGGGACUGCAUCUUUAAUUUUCUCCACACUAUAGGCUAUACAUUCUUCCUGCGUCUUCUUUCAGCGUCACAUGCAUGGAAAACAAAUAUUUUUUAUGAAGUCCCCGUGGUGUAUAAAUGUUGUUUCUUUGACACGGAAUAGACUUGUUAGGAUGUUGAUAGGGAGACCUUGUCAUGUGCUUGAAGUUGUUGAUAGGGAGACCUUGUCAUGUGCUUGAAGUGAUAUUUGUGAUUUCAGGCAAGUGCUCUUGUUUCUUAGAUGACAGAUGAGAGAUAUGCUGUUUUCCAGCAAAUUAAGCAGCUUCAGCAAGAACUAGUAAGGUGCUUAGUAUGUGAAUAUAUCAUGUAAGCUUAAUUGCUGAAAUUCUUUUAGGACAACCUUGCCUUUAGAUCAGUUGUGACUUCAAGAAAUAUUAGGUACCAAGAAAAGAAAAAUACAAAGACAAAUCCAUAUUCUGUGAUGAAUUCAGUACAGGAAGAUAAUGUAAAUUUUUUUUAUGAAGUCCUCGUAGUGUAUGAAUGUUGUUUCUUUGACACUGAAUAGACUUUUUAGGAUGUUGAUAGGGAGACCUUGUCAUGUGCCUGAAGUGAUACUGUACAGCACUUCUGGAACAUCAGAGACCAGAGGCUGAAGAAAACUCGUCUGAGGUGUGUCAUUGUUUUUCUGAUGUUAAUAAAUUUUAGAGCCCAAUGUAUGAAGAUGAUAUUUGUGAUGAAUUCAGUGCAGGAAGAUAUUCCAACCUCAAUUUCCAAACCCAAAAAAAACAUCAUCAAACCCUAACUGAAAAGCUUUUAUCUAUGAUAAAACAAUGCAAAUCGAAAAACCUACUAAAACAAAUCCACACAAAUGCUUAUAAACUCAAUACCAAAACCCAAUUUCCUUCUUUCCAAAAUCGUUGACCUCAAAGACUUGGCCUAUGCAUCCCUUGUUUUUAAUCAACUCACCAAACCCAAUAUUUAUGCCUUCAAUGUCAUGAUUCGUGGGUUAGCUACCACAUGGAAAAAGUAUGAUUUUUGUGUUGAAUUGCAUUACAAGCUGAAGUCUUUAUGCCUAAAAGCAAACAAUUUCACAUACCCUUUUUUGUUUAUAGCGUGAGGGAAUAUUUGGGGUUUGGUUCAUGGAAAUAUUGAUCAUUGUCUGGUGUUCAAGGCUGGUUUGUAUGGUGAUGAGCAUGUAAAUCAUUCUUUGACUACAAUGGACGCAAGGUGUGGUGAAAUCGGGUUUGCACGGAAGGUGUUUGAUGAAAUGGGUGAAAGAGACUUGGUGUCGUGGAAUUCGAUGAUUUCGGGGUAUUCUAAGAUGGGUUUUGCUAAAGAGGCAAUUGGGUUGUUUAUGGAAAUGAAGGAGGAGGGGUUUGAGCCAGAUGAGAUGACGUUGGUGAAUGUUCUUGGGGCGUGUGGGGAUUUGGGUUUGGGGAGAUGGGUGGAGGGGCUUGUUUUGGAGAAGAAGAUGGAGGUAAAUUCGUAUGUGGGGUCUGCCUUGAUUGUCAUGUAUGGUAAGUGUGGGGAUUUGAUAUCUGCGAGGAGGGUCUUUGAUUCAAUGCCAAACAAGGAUGUUGUCACUUGGAAUGCCAUUAUCACAUGGUAAUUAGACCGGUUUUAUACUUUGUAAUUGUCACAUAUAGUGGAAUUGUGUUUAUUUCUGUUCCUUUAAACUAACUUGAAAUUUGAAUUCUUCCUAAUUAAUCAGCUAUGAAAUAAAAACCACACAAAUAUAUGAAAUUUGUAAAUGCGUUUCAAGUUAAUAUGAUUUUUUUUGUUCAACUAUCACUUCAUAUGUGUGCACAGAAUGGAGCUUCCAAUGAAGCAAUUGUACUAUUCAUUGGAAUGAGAGAGGCAGGUCCUAAUCCAGAUAAAGUCACAAUGAUUGAAGUAUUGUCUGCAUGAUCCACAAUAGGGGCCCUUGAUUUGGGGAAAUGGGUUGAGACACAUGCAUCAGAAAUAGAUUUACACCACGAUGUCUAUGUUGCGAGUGAAUUAAUUGAUAUGUAUGCAAAAUGUGGGAGCUUGGAUGAUGCACUCAGGGUUUUUGAGAGUAUGCCUCAUAAAAAUGAGGUCUCAUGGAAUGCCAUGAUUUCUGCUCUUGCUUUCCAUGGGCGGGCCCUGGAAGCAUUAUCAUUAUUCAGACGCAUGUCAAAGGAUAAUGGCACUGUUCAGCCUAAUGACAUCACUUUCAUAGGAGUACUUUCUGCAUGCGUGCAUGCCGGAUUGGUUGAUGAGGGCAGCCAAUUGUUUGAAUCAAUGAAAAUGUAAUUUGGAUUGGUCCCAAAUGUCAAGCAUUAUUCUUGCAUGGUUGAUCUUUGUGCGCGUGCAGGACUUCCGAAUGAAGCUUGGGACUUAAUCAAGAAGAUGCCUGGUAAACGAGAUGGAAUUGUGUUGGGGUCAUUGCUUGGUGCCUGUCAGAGGCGUAGAAAUGCAGAUGUUGGUGAAAGGGUCAUUCAAUUGUUUCCAGAGAUGCAAUUAUCUCAUCUAAGAUAUAUGCAAAUAUGAGAAGGUGGGAUGAUUCUGCAAAGAUGAGGUAGUGUGGUGUCUCUAAAACCUCUGGCUGUAGCUGGAUUGACGUUGGAGCUGGUGCUCAUGAAUUUCAUGCUGGUGGCAGCUUACAUCAUCAUUCGGAGAACAUAUACCAAUUGCUGAAUGAGGAAAUGAAGAGAGAAGGUUACAUUCCAAAUAGCGGUUGCAUAUAGAGGUGGAAAAGUUGAAAACUUGGUGGCCUCUUUCAGCCAUUGAGCAGUGCAUUCGGAGGGAUUGUAUCUUCUGGUUGAUGACUGCAGCCAAAGUGUUGAAUGGCAAGUUGUGUUCUUAGGAGCUUGAGCAAGGAUCUCUAUCUUGCUGAUAGAAAUGUAUAGUUUACCCUCGCAUGAGUAUGUUUCUGUAGAAUGAAAAUGGUUGUUGGAUUGUUACAUGCAUUGGCUGUAAAAUAAUGCAAGUUCAUUGCGGAAAGAAUGCUAAAACUAUUUUUUUUUUAGAACAUAAGGAGGGAAUGCAGGGGGAAUUUUGGUGGAUUGAAAUAAAAUGCACUUGACACCUUUUAAGUUUUUAAGGGAUGCCAUAAAUCAUUUUCAAUAGUCCUCUAUGAAAAUGGUUUCCAUAAAACAAACAAGGCCAGUUUAGUUUUUUAAAGCUCCCUUUGCUUUCUUAACUUUCUCCUUGCUGUGGCAAUUGCAGCUGGAAAUAUGAUAAAGCUGAAGGACAUGCUAGUGGAAGUGGAAGAGAAGAAAUGCAUUUUGAUUUGUCAGUGUUUUAAGCAAGUGGAAGUGGAGGUAAUUAAAGAUUCUAACAAGAGACUUAACUUUAUUUUCAUAUAUUCUUUCACCGGAUAUUUGUCAUUUGUCAGUCUAAUUGGAUCUAUUAUUCUUGUAAUUCUCAUUUUCUAGUUUUUUUAGAGGAAGUUUAAUUUUUUUUUCUUUUUACCUUCAGGAGAAAGCUAAUCAUAUCAAAUACAAGGUUUUCUAGUUUUCUGUACAUCACUUUUGGAACAUAUUUUUGGAAUAAAUUUGAAUUGAUAUUUGUGUUGUAAUGUAUUCCCUUUAAUAUUAAAUAUUUUUGGAUAUUCGUGUUGUAAAUUUGAAUUGACCAUCCAUAAAUAUCAAGUAAUAAUGUAAUAUACAAGGGAAGUAAAAACUCAUGCAAUUGAAAAGCCCCCACUAUAUAAAAACCCACAAAACCAAAUGGAACUAUAUAAAUUAAUACAACAUCGCUUAAGCAUGCCUUUAAACUUGUUUAAAUCUUAAAACUAGAAUACAUAACGAUGCACCAAGUCUUGGUACUAUCAAGGCUAUGAAAACCCAAACUUUGAUAAAAUGGAAAGGUUGUCUACUAAAAAAUAAUAGCAAUUGUUGAUGCUCACCUCAAUAAAGUGAAACUAUGCUUGUCGCCAAUAUGGAUUUAUAUGCAGAAAUGCACCUAUCACCAGCAGCACCAUGAUGUAUGCAACCCAAAAGGUAACAUAGAAAACCUCCAUAUCUAUGAAGCCACCAUUAUCUUCAUUGUUUGUUGAAGUUGGUGUUUGUGAUGGUGGCAUAGCCGCACCACAUAUUUUGGGUAGCGGUUCUCCACAAAGAAAAGGGUUGUCCUUGUAGCAGCUCGCCUCAAACGUGGCAAACUGUGCAACUCUCGCAGGAGUCUUACCGGAAAAAUUAUUGUGAGCCACACUAAAAACUUCUAGAGAGAAUAGUUCAGUAAGACGAGGUGGGAUUUCUCCAUCUAGUUUAUUGUAGGAAAGAUCCAAGCUCUCUAUUUCCUUCAAGUUCCAAAAUGUUGGUGGAAUUGUGAUGCAGACCAGGUAGCAAACUCAUAUUUGGCGCGCCUAGAGCACCCAAAAAAGCAAAAGAGCUUAUCAUUGAUGAGUCAUAACAUGCAUAAUCAGGCACUUUAAGUUUCUUACGUGACAGUUGGAAUUUCCUCCUGUUUCCUUAUUUAGCUUUUAUUCUCCCAAUUAUUUUAGGACUGUUUGUUUUAGAAGACUAAGAGUUUCUUUUCGUUUCUUCCUUUAGCUUUUAUUUCCACAUUAAUUCGAGACUGUUCCCAAUUUAAUUGAGUAGUUUUAGGAGUGUAAGAGAUUCGUUUUCUCUAUUUAUUUGGUUGUAAUCGCUUUGCAAUGGGCAGUUGGAAUAAAAACAAAAACUCCUUUGAGUAGUUAACUCAAAUAUCUCUCUUUCUUCUGUUUUUCUGCGGAAUUCCAGAUCAAAGAAACCCUUGUUUGUUAGAAUGCAUGUGAGUUCCGUUCUGGUCUGCAUCAGGUUGGUAUCAGAGCCAGGUUAGUUAUCAUCGUCAUGGCACCAAAGAGACACGCAAACCUACCGAACCUUCGUGAACAACCGUUGGAUGAAGUCUAUGAGUGCGAUGAGAUUGCACGACUACAACAUCAAGUCGAGACGUGAACGCAGCAGUUGGCAGCGUUAAUGGCUCAACAUCGGGAUCCGAAUCCACAAGACGUGGAAGAAGAGUCCGAAGGUGACGAAAAUCCAUUCGCCCCUCAACCAGUGUAGAGGAGGCCAGCGAAUGAUGAAUCAAGGCAUUAGGAGUCAGGCCUUAAGGUCGACAUACUAGAGUUCCAUGGUGGUUUGCAAGCGGAUGAAUACCUCGAUUGGAUCAAUAUGGUAGAGGAAGUCUUAGAGUUUAAACAGGUUCCAGAAGACAGACGGGUAGCGCUUGUUGCAACAAAGCUUAGAGUUCGGGUUGGGGCUUGGUGGCAACAGAUAAAGAAAACAAGGACUCUACAAGGGAGAGGAAAGAUCACGUGCUGGGACAAGAUGAAAAAACACAUGCGUUCUGCGUUUCUACCAUGCAACUACACACGGACACUCUACCAACGGUUACAAAAUCUAAGACAGGAAAACCGCUAAGUUGAUGACUACACUACGGAGUUCUAUCAAUUAGUAUCGCGAGAUGCGAUUGCAGAGGAUGAGUAGUUGCGGGUUGCGCGAUAUAUUGGAGGGCUGCGGAUUCAAUUCCAAGAUGUCCUGAAUAUGUUUGAUGUGUUGAGUGUGUCAGAUGCCCACCAGAGAGCAGUGCAGUUAGAGAAACAACUAAUGCGUGGAAAUACAAGGAGUAUGAACUUUGGAGGUUCUAAUGCAAAUACAAGCAAUAACAGCGGACGAACAGGGAGUAUGAAUUUCGGGGGAACCAGUACAGGUGGUGCAAGCAGCAGUAACGCACGAACAACCAUUCCACCAUCUACUACUAUCAAGCCUACGAUGCCUGCACACACAACGACACCGAACACAGGUUUUUGUUGCUUUAACUGCGGAGAACCAGGACACAGGUUCGCAGAGUGUAAGAAAGGAGCAUGGAGAGGGUUGUUUUUGGACAUCGAAGAAAUUAGUAGGGAACAAGAUGGCGAUGUUGAGGCAGAACCAGUUUAUGAUGAGGAAGAGCAUUUAGAGGGGGAUACUGGAUCGAUGUUAAUGGUCCGACACAGUUGUUUAGCGUCACGCGAGAUAAAGGAUGAUUGGUUAUGCACUAAUGUAUUCUAGUCCACUUGCACAAUCAACAGGAAAGUCUGUCGGUUCAUCGUUGAUUCAGGUAGUUGUGAGAAUGUAGUGUCCGAUGAAGUGGUCUGUAAACUACACAUGGCAACAUAAUCACAUCCUCGACCAUAUAAAUUAACAUGGCUAGAUAAGAAGAAUGAUGUUACAGUAUCAAAAUGCAGCUUGGUAUCUUUUUCAAUCGGCACAACAUACAAAGAUCAGAUUUGGUGUGAUGUGGUCUCCAUGGACGCCUGUCAUUUAUUAUUGGGCAGACCGUGGUUAUAUGAUCGACAUGUGAUGUAUGAUGGGUUCCUGAAUACAUGCACUUUCAUAUUUAAUUCAAUCAAAGUUGUGUUGCUACCAAAGAAGGAAACUACAGGUGGUAUUCUGACAGGAGAAAAAAACAAUUUAUUGACAAUGGCUAAAUUCGAAGCAGAGAUCAGAGAAUCUGGGGUGGUUUAUGUGCUGAUCGGAAGGAUGGAAGUUGAGAAUGGCACUAUUCCAAGCAGCGUGGAGCCAUUAUUGCAGGAAUUUGGAGAUGUAUUUCCGGCUGAGCUUCCUGAGAACCUACCCCUAUUAAGGGACAUUGAACAUCAAAUUGAUCUGGUUCCAGGUGCCAACUUGCCCAACAGGCCGCAUUAUCGGAUGAGUCCAAAGGAGCAUGAAGAGUUACGGUGCCAAGUAGAGGAAUUGCUAAUAAAAGGGCAUAUUCGGGAGAGUCUUAGCCCAUGUGCGGUGCCUGCCCUUCUGACCCAAAAAAAAAAAACAUGACAUGGAGAAUGUGUGUUGACAGCAGGGCCAUCAAUAAGAUUACGGUUCGAUACAGGUUUCCGAUCCCACAGUUGGAUGACUUGCUGGAUCAGUUGAGCGGAGCCAUAAUAUUCACGAAGCUGGACUUGAAGAGCGGGUAUCACCAGAUUCGUAUCCGGCCAGGAGAUGGGUGGAAAACGGCCUUCAAAACUCGAGAAGGACUCUUUAAGUGGAUGGUCAUGCCUUUCAAACUGUCUAAUGCCCCAAGCACAUUUAUGCGGGUGAUGAAUCAAGCCCUGCGGCCCUACAUUGGUAAGAGCGUGGUGGUAUAUUUUGAUGACAUUUUAAUUUACAGCAUUGAUCCUAGGAUGCACCUACAACAUCUUCGGGAAGUUUUGGUCGUGUUACGUAAGGAACAAUUCUUUGCAGCAAAAGGAAAAUGUGUGUUCUUAACUAACCGAGUCUUGUUCUUGGGUUACAUUAUCUCUUCUGAGGGGCUUUUAGUAGACGACUAAAAAAUUAAAGCCAUCAAACAGUGGCGACAACCGUAAACCGUGACUGAUGUCCGAAGCUUUCACGGGUUGGCAUCAUUCUAUCGCCGAUUCAUUCCUCACUUCAGUGGUAUAAUGGCCCCAGUGACUGAUUGUAUAAAGAACAAUAGCAAGUUUGUGUGGACACCUGAGGCCGAAAUAGCCUUCUAAGAAAUCAAGAAACAAUUGACCACCGCCCCAGUACUUGUCCUAUCUGACUUUUCAAAUCCAUUUAAGCUACACGGUGACGCCUCAAAGCUAGGAAUCGGAGUGGUUCUAAGCCAAAAUGGCAGGCCUGUCGCCUUUUUCAGUGAGAAGCUUUCAGGAGCAAAAUUACGGUAUAACACCCAUGACGUUGAAUUUUAUGCAGUGGUUCAAGCGGUAAGACAAUGGCGACAAUAUCUAUUUCUUCAGGAGUUCGUCCUAUUUACUGACCAUGAUGCCCUCAAACAUAUGGGGAGUCAAGAUAAAAUUUCAUCCCGACAUGCAUCUUGGGCUGCGUACUUACAACAAUUCACUUUUGUCAUCAAACACAAAGCGGGUACACUGAACCGAGUGGCUAAUGCCGUCAGUCGUUGAAAAAAUCUGCUGGUUGACAUGCGAAUCAAAGUAUUGGGUUUCGACUCCUUUCAAAAUUUGUAUGCAUCUGAUUUUUUUGCUGCUGUAAUAGAGAAAAUUCAUAACAACCAACAGAGUGACUUUGUUCUCCACGAUGGAUUUGUUUUCAAAGGAACCCAACUGUGUAUACCUGAGUGUAGUCUCCGAAACAAGAUCAUACAAGAACUGCACAUAGAAGGACAUGUGGGAAGAGACUGGACUUACUUGCUGGUGGCUACGUCCUACUUCUGGCCAUCCAUACGGAAGGAGGUUGGUCAUUUUAUUGAGCGAUGUAGGGUCUGUCAUGUUGCUAAGGGAGGAGCCACCAAUGCCGGUUUGUACAUUCCACUUUCUGUUUCAGUACGACCAUGGUCCGACAUCAGCAUGGAUUUUGUUUUAGGCCUCCCGCGUACACAACAGGGAUUCGACUCCAUUUUUCAUAGUGGUAGACAGGUUUUCAAAAAUGGCCCACUUUAUACCAUGCAAGAAAACAACAGAUGCUGUUAAUGUGGCUGAAUUGUUCUUUUGAGAAAUUUAUCGGUUGCAUGGCUUGCCAGAGUCAAUCGUAUCUGAUAGGGACACUCAUUUCCUAAGCCAUUUCUGGCGGAGUCAGUGGAAGAUGGUUAAUACUCACCUGAACUUCAGCAGUGCUUAUCAUCCUUAGUUCGAUGGGCAAACCGAGGUGGUGAACCGGUCGUUAGGUAACCUCCUUCGCAAUUUGGUGGGUGAUCAGAUAAAAUCUUGGGACAAGAAACUUGGCCAGGCAGAGUUCGCUCAUAACCAUACAGUCAAUCGUAGCAGCAAGUUCAGCCCCUUUGAAAUCGUGUGUGGGUUUCUCCCACGAUGUCCACUUGACCUAGCUAAUCUCCCGAGCAACACCGCAACACCAAAGUUAAUCAUAAGGCAGAGGACUUUGUCACUCAGUUGCAGGACAUUCACAACCUUACCCGACAGAACUUGCUGGAAUCUUUUGCCAAAUUCAAACUCGACACAGACCGCAAGCGGCGUCUUGUCAAUUUUGAGGUGGGUGACUUCAUUUGGGCUAUGCUAACGAAGGAUCGUUUUCCUAUAGGCGAAUACAAUAAACUAUCAGCACAAAAGAUUGGUCCCGUGGAGAUUAUGGAGAAAAUAAAUUCCAAUGCUUACCACCUCAAGCUACCUAGUCAUAUUCGCACAGCAAAUGUAUUUAAUGUCAAGCACCUAAUUCCUUUCCACGAGGAUUUGUCAUCAGAAGAGGAAGAUUUCUUGAAUUCAUGGUCGAAUUCUUCUCAGCAUGGGGAGGAUGAUGCAGACCAGGUAGCAAACUCAUAUUUGGCGCGCCUAGAGCACCCAAAAAAGCAAAAGAGCUUGACAUUGAUGAGUCAUAACAUGCAUAAUCAGGCACUUUAAGUUUCUUACGUAACAGUUGGAAUUUCCUCCUGUUUCCUUAUUUAGCUUUGAUUCUCCCAAUUAUUUCAGGACUGUUUGUUUUAGAAGACUAAGAGUUUCUUUCCAUUUCGUCCUUUAUCUUUUAUUUCCACAUUAAUUCGGGACUGUUUGCCAAUUUAAUUGAGUAGUUUUAGGAGUCUAAGAGAUUCGUUUUCUCUAUUUAUUUGGAUGUAAUCGCUUUACGAUGGGCAGUUGGAAUAAAAACAAAAACUCCUUUGAGUAGUUAACUCAAAUAUCUCUCUUUCUUCUGUUUUUCUGCGGAAUUCCAGAUCAAAGAAACCCUUGUUUGUUAGAACGCGUGUGAGUUCCGUUCUAGUCUACAUCAAAUUGGUCCAGUCAAACUAUUGUGCGAAAGGUUCAAUGCCUUGAUCAUACUGAGGUUUCCAAUUUUAGGAGGAAUCUUCCCGGUGAAAUUGUUGCAUGAGAAAUCAAUUCUUAUGAAGUACCAGAUAUUGUCGCCUCUAUAAGAAAGGGAUACAUUCUUCGUGUAAACUCGAAGGAUUGUUGUGAUGAGGACAUAGAAUCAUGAGAAUUGUAUGAUUGUGGGAAAUGAUGAGUAGAUAUCAUCCAAGAGAGGAUGUUACCAGAAAGGUGAUUAUGAGAAAGAUCAAUCAAGGUCAAUUGGUCCAACCUGGAUAAUUGAAUUGGGAUUUCACCUUCAAGAUUGUUAUAACUCAAGAGUAGAAAUCUCAAGUUAGAUAGCCUGUCAAUCCAUUCUUGAAUUGUACCAGUUAAAUUAUUAUGGGAAAGAUCCAAUGCCAAUAUCUCAGGGUGGGUCAUAAAAUGCCAUUGUGAUCGGUCCUUGGAACUUAUUUCUAGACAAAUAAACAUAUCUCAAAUUUGAAGAAGUGUUGAAUCUAGGUGGUAAACGACCAGAGAAAUUGUUCCCUGAUAAGUCCAAGAAUUCAAGAGAAGACAUAUUUCAUAUCCAUCCAGAGAUCUGCCCUUGCAAACUGUUGUUCGAAAGUAUUCUUCCAGUCAAAAGAUUGUUGGAUAGGUCUAACUCAAACAGCGAGUAAGGAAUGCUUCCAUUGAAACCAUUAUCAGACAUCUUUAAGACUUCUAACCCUGGCAAACGAUCUCCGAUUUUUAAAGGGAUUUGGCCUUGAAAGUGAUUCAUGGAUAUCCUUAGGAAUGACAAAUUCACAUGAGAAUUCUUUGGCAACAAAAAUGGACCCGAAAGAGAACAAUUUUCUAAAUAAAGUCUUUGAAGGUAUGUGUUGUUCUCAAUCAACCAAUUUGAAAACUCUCCCUUUAUUUGGAUGUUUGCAAGAUCCAAAAAUUGCAGGCUGAACUGAUGGUAAAAGAACUUGGGUAAUGCUCCCGCAUCUUGUCCACGACCUCUCAAAUAGAGGGACUCUAACUGGAACUUUGGGCUCAGAUUAUGAUCAUCUUCUUCUGCGAAUAUUUCAUUACCUGAACUAUAAAAAGACUUGAUUUUUGAAAGGUUGUAUAAUGGGCUCAAUGACAUAGGAAUCUUGAAGUGAUUGGAAGAGAGAUAUAGUUGUUGAAGGGAAGUCAAAUUUGUCAGACACGAAGGCAAGACUCCACUAAGAUCAUUGUCACUCAUAUCUAGCUCUUGGAGAUGAUUUAAGUCACAUAGGCCUAGUUACAUUAUAAUAUAGAGAAAAUUAAAACUUUGAGUGUCUAAUGGAAAAUACAUAACCUAGAGAGAGAAUAAGAGUCAUCAACCUUACCUUGAGCUGUAGGUAUUUGGCCAUCUAGUUUGCAGCUCCCCAAAAUCAAAGUUUUGAGAGAAGUCAUUGUUUCGAUGGAUUGUAAGAUGUUGUUAUCAAGAGUAUUGGAACUCAAAUCUAAGUAUUCCAAGUUCUUGGGAUUAAGGAAGCCUGCUGCAAUCAAUUAAACAAGAAAUUAUAAUUGCGUAGAAGGAAUUAAUUAUAAAGGAAAUGAAAGAGCAAGAGUGAUCAACCUUACCUUGGGUUGUAGGUAUUUGGCCAUUUAGACUGCAAUCCUCCAAUUUCAAUAUUUUAAAAGAGGUCAUCGUUCUGAUGGUUUGGAAGAUGCUAUUAUUGAGAGUACUGUAACUCAAAUCCAAGUAUUCUAAGUUCUUGAGAUCAAGGAAGCCUAUCACGAUCAAUUAAAUAGAAAUUAUAUUAGCGUAGAAGGAAUUAAAAUUAGAAAUAACUCAUUACCUAUCAAUCAUGGCUAAAGAAACAAAAAAUAUCAGGUAAGUGUAGAAAUUGUACUGUCCAAUUAAUAGAAGGUUUUUUUUAUACGUUUGACCCAAAAAUAGAAAUACACCAUUGUUAAUUUAUUCUCCUCCUAAAAAUAACACUCUCUAUAUAUGAAGUUAUAUUGUUUUUUAUGUUAUCAUUUUAAUUACAUUACACUGAAAUGGUGUUGAGAGAGGGGCAAGAUUAAAGUGAAAUAUUAUUCAUAUUAAAUGGAUGGUAGAAUUUUAAAAUAAUAAAGAUUUCAAUUGAGUUAAUUUCUAAAUUUGAGAUUUAAUUGUCUCUCCAAGACUUGUUUAGUAGGUUGCUAAAACAUAAAAGAAGAAAUCUAUACGACACCUAAUUGUAGCAGGUAUAGAAAGAAAUAAAAUGAUCAAUGAUAAGUAAUAGUGGAGUUGAAAUUUGUUAAUUUACCUCCAGAAGGUACAGUGCUAUUAAGUUCUUGCAAUGACAGAUUUUUUAGAGAAGGCAGUGCUCGAAAGCUUUGAAGAGAGUGUUCAUCUAGAGAACAAGAGUCCAGAUACAAAUUUUUCAAAAAGCUCAAAUUUUGCAACUCUGUUUGUUCAAUAGUAGCAAAUUGAAUUUUUCAAUUAAACCCAAAUAUAUAAACAUCACUAUAUAUGUAAUAUAACUUACUAUCACCUAAUAUUCUUCCUCUAAAAUCGUAGAAUCCCAGAUAAAGUGUUGUGAGGUUUGGGAAUGCUCCUAAUGAUUGCAAUAACUGGAAGCUACUUCCAUAGGUUAUGAUAUUCUCUAGCCAUAGAGUCCUCAAGUUGCUUGGACCUGCAAGUUAGUUAUGGAAGAAACAAGAAUAAUUAAUAUUAUCUUCAUGAUGCUACCAACAGGUAGGUAAUGUGAAUGUGUUACUAAUUACCUCUUGAGGCUACCAACUUGUUAAUAUUGUUGCCGCCCAGACCCAAUUCCUCCAAGCUAGUUAGAGAUUCUUGAUAUUUAUAUAUAAAAAAAUAAAUUAAUACAAUACUCAUUAAUUGUGUUUUUGAAAUUAAAUUUAAUAGAUAAUUGUGUUAAUUAAAUUUAAUAUUUAUAAAAAUAAUAGUAUAUAAAAAAACUAACCUUUCAAAUCUAUUAACCCCUCCAGUCUAUUAUAAUCUAAAUAUAGUGAUUUAAGAAACGGAAGCCCUUCCACAAAUAAUAGAAUACUGUUAUCGAAGCUAUUAUAUUCCAAGGCAAGGAACUCCAAAUUGCUCAAUUUCUGUAACUCAUAACCACCAAUAUAAAUAAAUAAAUAAAUAAAGACUUUAGGUAUAGAAUAAAAAAGAUAUUAUUGGAGUAAUUUAAUUAUGAUUGAUUAAGAGGCAUGUAAUUGUUACAGUGAAGGUUGAGGUGGUGAAAGUGAAAAUAAAAAGAGUAAUUGUUAAAGUGACGGUCUAUGUCUAUGUCAUGAUUAUAAUAAAAUUGGCAAUUUAAUAAUAUAUGUUGUGGAAUUAAACAACACCUUGUUACUAGAUAUGAUUUCUAUUUCUUCGAUGAUGAAUUACUGUAGAGAACUAAAAUUAAUGAUAGUAAUUAAACAACACCUUAUUUGAUUAAUUCUAAAAAAAUAAAAGUAAUAUAAAUAUUUUGUAAUACUUAAGAGAGCAAACCUUUCUUCUCAACCCAACCAGCUAUGCGAUUAUUCGACAAGGAGAGAACGUUGAGUUGUUGAAAAGGAAGAAACAAGGAGGCAUUCAAGUACCAAUCUCCCAGUUCCGGAUUCCAUACGCCCCCAAGACCGAGUUCGGUGACUCGACCUGUACUGCUGUUGCACUCAAUAAGUUCCCAAGAACAACAGUUGGCGUCUGCUUUCAUCCAGGAGGGAAGGGAGGUGCCAUUGGGAUAGUUAAGAGAAUCUUUGAGCUGCAAGAGAGCGAUCCUCUCUUCCUCCAAGCAACCAAGAGGCACCCAUCCUUGCAGCGAAACCGUUAUCACUAACACCGUGAACACCUGAAGGAACAGCCCCAUCUUAUUAAUAUCAACUAUUACAAUAUUAAUUGUUGCCAAUGGCAGCGAGGAGGUUAAGGCUUUUAUAGAGGACUUCACGGACCCAUGCCGUGCAAAAAACUGCAUAGUUGUUUUAAAGAAUUCCAUAUCAUAAUGAAAACAAUAUAUCUCAGUAAUUUGUAAAAAUAUCUUAAUGAAUAAAUAUAUAUCCACUUCAUAGUCUCUCUUGUUUUUUUCUUAAUUUUUCAUUAAUUUGGCCAAUAUAUAUUAAUAAGAGAAAUCCUACUAAUACAUAUUUUUGUUUUUGCUGUGAAUAAAUUUAGAUAUCCAACGCUGUUGUUGUUGUAGUCAAUUUUUCCAUCUAAACUGCGGUAAAGGUUGAUCAUCACAAAUGUUCAUCAUUCUUUAUAGUAUUCCAUUUUAAUUUUAACAAGGUUCAAGAUGAAUCUUUACUGAUUGAUUUGAUUCCGUGUUUUUUUCCCCUACUAAACGCUAACUUUUUAGUAUAUUUUUCCUGCUGAAUACUUUUUUUUUUUUUAGUUUUAACAAACUAAAAGGUUGUUUGGGAAUAAUUUUGAAAUUAUAUUUUUUUUUAAAAUAAUUUUUUUAUUUAAAAUUAUUUUUUAAGUUUUUUUUAUCCGAUAUAUUGAUGUUAAAAAUAUUUUUUUAAAAAAUAUUUUAUAAAUCAACUUCUUUUAUUUUAUUUUAGUACAUAAUUCAUAAUAACUGAAUUGAUUCAUUUAACAUUUAUCUUUAAUAUAUGUAUUCUCUUUGUUUCUUUUUAUAAUAAUCUUAAUCUGAAUAUCUUUUUAGGAAAAAAUACUUAUGGAAAAAUGCAUGAUGGCACCAUCCACCGGACCCAUCUUGAAGAAAAAUGGAUGAUGGAAAUGGUCUAACGGACCCAACUCAUGGAAAAAUGCAUGAUGGCAACUUCCAACGGGCCCAUCUUGUGAAAAAGAAGAAGCAGGUUGGCAUAGGACGGCAGUGUCCUCUUCAUCACAUUUGUUUUCGUUUUGAUAUUACCCUGAUUAUUUUUUACAUUCUAAAAGUAUUUUUUAAAAAUAAAUUUUAUUUUAUUUUUUGAUGUUCUUAUAUUAUUUUAAUAUAUAAAUGUUAAAAAUUAUUUUUAAAAAAUAAAAAAAUAUUAUUUAAAUAUAUUUCCAAACUAAAAAUACUUUAAAAACCAACUAUUAUCAUACUCCCAAACACUCCUAAGUAUUGCUUACAUUGAAAUUUUUUUUCCUUUGUCAAGACUUUACUGAUUAUUCUUUUAUAUAUUAUUGUAAAUGAAUUGUUUAAAAAUUUAAUUUUUUUAAUUUUUUUUUGACAAUUUAGUUUUAAUUAAACUUUAAUUGAUUUUAAAUUUUUAUAAAAAGAUAAAAUAAAAAAAUAAAAAAGAUAUAAGUGUCAUGCUAUAAAUUUUGCAAAGGAUGUAUUUUCCCAUACUAAAAACAAUAAAAAGUGAAAGUAAUUGAUGUAAUGACAUAGCAACCAUAAACAUUUGGAUGAUCAAAAUAAAAAUAACUCAUUUUUAAGCUAUAAUUGUUCAUUCGGUCACCUGUUCAAGUACAUAUAGAAAAUGAUAAUUUUACUGUACAAAUUUUUAGCACCUCGUCGUACUUUUCAUGAUAAUUAUUCUCAAGCUUAUGGGGCAAUAAUCUCACGAACUCAUCUUAUCUCGUAGAAAAAAAACUCUUGAAAAGCCCCCGCUGUAUAAAAACCCUUGAAACCAAAUGAAACUGUAUAAAUUAAUACAACAUGAGCAUGCAUUGAAACUUGUUUAAAUCUUAAAACUAGAAUACACAACGAUGCACCAAAGUCUUGGUACCAUCAAGGCUAUGAAAACCCAAACUUGUAUAAAAUGGAAAGAUUGUCCACUAGAAAAUAAUAGCAAUUGUUGAUGCUCACCUCAAUAAAGUGAAACCAAGCUCGUCGCCAAUAUGGAUUUAUGUAUAGAACUGCACCUAUCACCAGCAGUACCAUGAUGUAUACAACCCAAAAGGUCACAUAGAAAACCUCCAUAUCCAUAAAGCCACUAUUAUCUUCAUUGUUCGUUGAAGUUGGCGUUGGUGAUGGUGGCAUAGCCGCACCACAUAUUUUGGGUAGCGGUUCUCCACAAAGAAAAGGGUUGUCCUUGUAGCACCUCUCAUCAAACGUGGCAAACUGUGCAACUCUCGCAGGAGUCUUACCAGAUAAAUUAUUAUGAGCCACACUAAAAACUUCUAGAGAAAAUAGUUCAGGAAGUCGAGGUGGGAUUUCUCCAUCCAAUUUGUUGUAGGAAAGAUCCAAGCUCUCUAUUUCCUUUAAGUUUGAAAAUGUUGGUGGAAUUGGUCCAGUCAAACUGUUGUGCGAAAGGUUCAACGCCUUGAUCUUGUUGAGGUUUCCAAUUUCAGGAGGAAUCUCUCCUGUGAAAUUGUUGCAUGAGAAAUCAAUUCCUGUUAAGUACUGGAUAAUGCUUCCUCUAUAAGAAAGGGAUACAUUCUUCGUUGUAAACUCAAAAGAUUGGUGUGAUGAGGAUUCAUAACCAUAAGAAUUGUAUUGUUGAGGGAAAGGAUGAGUAGAUAUCAUCCAAAAGAGGAUGUUACCAGAAAGGUGAUUGUGAGAAAGAUCAAUCAAG